RNAcentral lists this long non-coding RNA (50571 nucleotides) under Fragaria vesca (wild strawberry). RNAcentral's name for it is "long non-coding RNA (FVES_LNC000283)". Lineage: Eukaryota; Viridiplantae; Streptophyta; Magnoliopsida; Rosales; Rosaceae. The record is from RNAcentral.
UUAGAUAUAUAAGAAAAUUAUGGUUUUAACUUUGAGGAGGAUCACAUGAAGUGGUUCCGGGUAAAAUAUGAGGGUGUGAUCCUUAACAAGUCUUAGCAAAUCUCUUUCGGCCAUAAGGAUCACGAAAUUAGUAUGAUUAGCCUUUCAUGACCUGAGUCCCUUAGUUUGUGUCCCUUAGUUAUUAUGUAUGAUUGAUUUACUCAUCUGGAGUUUUGGUUUGCACUUUGAUAUGGGGUUAGUUUUAUAUUCUUCAAACUCUAAAGAAGUUGGUGGUGGGAUUCAUGACCAUCUUGUGCAAUUACAGUUUAUUCACGUGAUUUAACAGGUUUUCCCAACUAUUGUUUUAGUUUGUGAUCUUAUAUUGGUUUUUUGAUUUGUAAUUCAUUAGGCAGCAACAACAAAUUUGUUCUUCGUUGUUCUUUGUCAUUCAGUAGAUCACAGGUUUUUGUGUUGUUCUUUUUUUUUUUCGGGAGGGGUUUUGGUUUAUGUCCCCCUCUCCCCUUAUGUACUCUUUUGUUUCUCUUUUUUCAAUAAAAUAAUUGGAACCGGGCGUAGGGCUGAGCCUCCCAAUUUGUCUGGGUUCCAAACCCUUUUUUUCCCACUAACAAAAAGAGAUUUUAAACUUCCCAUCAACCCAAUAGACUCUUAUAGACUAUUCCCACUAACAAAAUUUUUGACUUUUUAUGUUUUUUUGUGUGACCAAAUUACCCUUGUAGAUAUAUAUAUAUAUAUAUAUAUAUAUAUCUCUCUCUCUCUCNNNNNNNNNNNNNNNNNNNNUCUCUCUCUCUCUCUCUCUCUCUCUCUCUCUCUCUCUCUCUCUCUCUCUCUCUCUCUCUCCUCCGUACCGGAAAAACGAAACAGAAGCUCACCAUUGCCUUCUUCCACCGCCGCUCUGCUUAGUCAAACCCUCGCUGGGAGGACUUCCAGUCCAACCUCAAAACCCUCGCCGUCAUCGGAAUCUGGAUCUCAGAUCCAUCUGCAGCGCCUAACCCGCCGUCGCUUCAUGCUCCGCCACAGAGUUCGGCUUCAAACCACCACGGUUCCAAAAGCAUCUCGGAUCCAUCUGCCGCGCCUAACCGGUUGUUGCUUCAUGCUCUGCCACAGAGUUCGACUUUAAAACCACCACGGUUCCAAAAGCCUCCCUUGCCGUUGCCGGAGUCAAGGAACACGAGCCGCUUCGCCACUGUGCCUAUGGCGACGAUGACGGUGUAGGCCUCAACGACGUCGGAGGUGGUGGUGAGCUGGAUGUUAGGGGCGUAUUUCGGAGUUGGUAGCGGUGAUCUUCUGCCUUGCGUGCAGAGAGUAAUUUGGAGGACUUUGCCUGAAACUUUUGGCUGUAAGGUAAGUACUACUGUGUUGGUUUUUGGUCAUGGUAUUUGAUUCCGAAAUGGAGUUAUGGUUGAUAUUAGAUUUUGAAUUGGUGAAGGGUAGAGAACUCAUUAAUUCAUGAAUUGGUUGUUUUGUGUUGAAUGUAACAGAACAAAAUAUAUUGGUUUGGUUGUUGUUGUUGGUGAGGGGUUUAGCAGUGGAGAAAACGCAGGUCAUCUGCCCCUAUUGGCCUCAGUAGACCCCCCUACUGCCCCCCAAUAGACCCUCCUAUUGCACCUAGUAGACCCCCCUACUGCACCGAGUAUACCCCCUACUGGCCCCCAGUAGACCCUUCUACUGCCCCCAGUUGACCCCUGUGGACAGACCCAUGCAUACUGACCCCAAUAUGAGGUCAUACUGACCCCAAUAGAUGGUCAACUGUCGUCAGAGUUUGGUCAACGGUCGCGGGAGUCACGGUCAACGACCAUCGGUUGCAAGAAUCCGGUCAUAGAUAUUUAUUUUAAAAUAUACAUUCUAUUGUUCUUAUAAUGGUCUAUUGUAGUUUAUUUAAAUCAUUAAAGGUAUAAUUGUCUUUUUCUUGUUUAAGUUGGCUCUUGGGAAUUUUGAAAUCUGAUUUUAUUGGUGGGAAUAAAAUUCUUAAAAUUAGGGCUAAAGGGCAUUGUCCCAAAAAAAAAAACUCUAAAGAAGUUGAGUUUCAUUAUUGGGGAAUGAUGACACCAAUAUUGGAAUUGGUAUUAAUUGCUCUUUGAGAAGUAAGGUAAUCCCGGAAAAAAAAAUAAAAAAAAAAUACAUUGAAGCAUCUAAAUCAGUUUUCAUCAUUAUUGAAAUAAUUUAUGCAAGAUAUUUGUGAAUGCUUGACCAACAAAUUAAAGAAAAUCUUCUGAACUGGAAUUAUGACCCACGCUUUGCCGCGGGAUUUGCGAGAUUUGUGUUCAUAAUUUUUCUUCUUUUAUUCUUAUUUCUAAUGUAUCAAAGUGCAAGAUCUAUAUAGAUUCAAUUUGAAAUACUUAACAACAAUGCACUUAUCAUAGUAGUAAAAGUAUAUCUCUUAUGUUUUUUCUUCUCGAUUCUUUCUUUCACUCUUUUCCUAAUCUACUAUUUUCAUCGGAGACAGAACAAAGUAAAUUUCAGAGGGUUCUUUCUAGAUAGUGUGUCCCAAUUUACUUUUUUUUUCAGACAAAAAAAAAAAAACUGGCCCGAGCCCAAAACUGUUUUUACUAGAUAAACAGUAAAUCAUUAUAGAUGAACAGUGAUCAACAAAUAGAUAUAUAGUAAAUUUUAGGAAGUAAGUUUCGACAUGUAUUUUUGUCAUGAUUACCUUUCUCUAUAUGGAAGGAAUCCUAACACCGUAAAAAAUAUAUAUAUUCCUUAUAUAUAUAGCUAGGUUAUAUAGGGUUUAGUUUGUGCAAGUAUAUAAACUCUAUUCAUCCUAUACAAACAUCACAAGUCACAAGCGGCUAUACAUAAAUUAUUGAUUUCAUUUUAUUCCCUUAAUAUCUUGUUGAUUUUUUAGCUAUGGAAACAGAGCAAGAGAGAAAGUUAUUUGUGGGUGGUAUACCAUGGCAGGUUAACGAAACUAUGUUGGAAGAACACUUCAGCCAGUAUGGUGAAGUAAAAGAAUGCGUGAUCGUUCUAGAUAAAGUCAAUAAUUAUCAACCUAGAGGGUUUGGUUUUGUUACCUUUGUUGAUCGAUUAGUGGCUGAUAAAGUUUUGGAAGAAAAUCAUGUCAUCUUUGACAAAAAGGUUAGUUCAACAUAAUCGUAGUAAGCUAUUUUGUACAAUUUCUUUUUCUUUUGCUUGUGAUAAUAUUGUGUUGGAUAAUUCGUCGUUCUUUUCUGGGUAUUGAUUUUUCGUUAUACAGCUUGUCGUAAAUCCCUCAGAACCACGGCGCGAGAGGAACCAGAAUAACCAAAGAAAUCAAUAUGCUCAACGUCAAAAAUCUCAUCACCCCAAAAAGAUUUUUGUAGGGGGUUUACCACAUCAUCUUACAGAAGAAGAAUUUAUCAACUACUUUGUGAAGUUUGGUGUAAUUGAUAAGGGUGUGAUAAUUUAUGAUAAGGAAACCAGCACGUCAAGAGGCUUUGGUUUCAUCACUUUUGAAUCAGAGGAGGCGGUUAAAGAUGUAAUGCAGGAAAAUUUUCACGAGCUAAAGAAUGAGAUAGUGGAGGUCCGCCGAGCUCGUCUCGAAGUAACAAGGAAUAACAGAAGUUUGAUGAACUGGCAUGACCUUGAGAAUGCAAGGUUGGAAUUUGAAGGAGGACUUCGAUAUGAUGAUCUUGCUUUUGGGGUUGGUCGUCUUUUUUGCUGCAACUGUGGAGGUUCUUAUGGUUACGGACAUUAUCCAGCGUGCUUGUGUGGGGAGGAUCCUUUUAAUGGAACUUGGAAGGCUCUGAGGGUUCUACAUGCUUAUUGGAAUGGUGGUGGUGAAGUGCAUCCAUGGGCGUGGAAUGAUAAUCUGCAAUCCAACGAACACCUACUGACUUAUGUAAACAAAUAAACUGUGUAUCCUCUUAUUCAUGCACAGACAUGAACUACUCUAUUGAUUAAAUUCUGUAAGCAUGGUUACUCAGGAAUUUACUAUCAUGAUUGAGUCCCAAAACUAGUGCAAGUCUAAGUAAUCCAACAUCAACUAUCCAGUAGUUCAUUCAGUCACGAUCUAACUUACAUUAAUCCUAUUCUUUACUUCGAAUGCCAUUCAACUGCGGCCAGCCGCCAUGAUAACCAAGACUAGCAAGUCUAAGCAAAUCGUUUUUUUGUGCAAGAAAAAAAAAAUAAAACACAGUAGCUAGUGCACGUGUGGUUCACUGGCUACAGCCCGUGGUUGCCGGUCACCCCAUUCAACUUUUUAACCAGAUUACUUCUCAGUUUUACUAUUUUCGAAGAAGACUGAACUCUACUGAGGGCUUUCUCUCUCCUUUCACUCUUUCAGUAAGAGCUAUGGCUUUUCUCUCACUAGUCUCUCCUACUUUGCUUCCAGUGGUACGGCCUCUCUCAUAGUCUUUCUCUCCACAUUAUCUCUUUUUUGUGCUUUGGGUGGUCUAAAUCUUUUGGUUGUUCUUUGCUCCCCUUUGCUUGCUUUAUUACUGCACAUCUUUUCUGUUUCUGGUGAUUGUGCCCUUUUGAAGCUUGAGCAUGAAGUGCAAGAAGGUUCAUUAUUUGUAUUAGGAAUGUAAUGAUGUUUUUGACCAUGGAAAAAGAUCAGAUAAAAAAGCAGAGUCAGAGACAGCAACAUCAGCUGUGUCUGUGUGUGUGAUAAAUAGGGUAUUGUUGCUUGCUGAUUGUCAAUAACAUCCCUUUUAUCCCUUUUUCAAACAUUUCAUGGGAUACCCAGAUGUAAUGUGGGCAUUUUGAGUAAGAGGAUUUUAAGAGCUUUGAGGAUUUGGGUUUUUCAGGGUUUUUAAGAAUGCCUAUGUUUGAGCCCUCAAACAGGGAUGGGAUUGUUGGGUUUGAUGGUGGUGGAGAUGGGCAUGUUCUAGAUUUGGACACAGCUGUCAAAGAUGGGGUUUUGGGUGGUGGUGGUGUUGUUAGUGUUGGUGGGGUUGUGGGAACUGGUGGUGGUGGUGAGAAAUUGGAUCUGAGAAUGAUGAUUGAGGAGCUUGACUUGUCUGAGGUACCUUCUGUGUUUAUCUGCCCAAUUUCUCUUGAGCCAAUGCAAGACCCUGUGACCCUUUGCACUGGGCAGACCUAUGAGAAGUCCAACAUUCUCAAGUGGUUCAAUUUGGGGCAUUUCACCUGUCCAACCACAAUGCAGGAGCUUUGGGAUGAUACCGUGACCCCUAAUAGGACCCUUCAUCAUCUAAUCUACACAUGGUUUUCUCAGAAGUAUCUGCUCAUGAAGAAGAAGUCAGAAGAUGUUCAGGGAAGGGCUGCAGAGCUUGUGGAGAUGCUGAAGACUGUGAAGGGUCAAGCUAGGGUGCAAGCCCUCAAGGAAUUGCGUCAAGUUGUGGCAGUUCAUGCCACUGCUAGGCAGACAUUGAUCGAUAAAGGUGGGAUUGCUGUAGUUUCGUCUCUGCUUGGUCCAUUUACUUCACAUGUUAUAGGUUCGGUAGCCAUUGCAAUUCUUGUGAAUUUGACACUUGAUUCGGAGUCCAGAAUGAGUUUGAUGCAACCAGCUAAGAUUUCGUUGAUGGUGGACAUUUUGAAUGAGGGGUCAAUUGAGACAAAAAUCAAUUGUACCCGGUUGAUCAAAAUGUUAAUGGAGGAGAAGGAUUUUCGAUCAGAAAUUGUUUCGAGCCAUAGCCUCCUGGUUGGAAUAAUGAGGUUGGUUAAAGAUAAGAGACAUACAGUUGGAGUCUUGCCAGGACUGAGCCUCCUCAGAACAAUAUGCUUGCAUGAGGAAGCGAGGGGCUUGAUAGUGAGCAUUGGAGCUGUACCGCAAUUGGUUGAAUGUUUGCUUUCCCUUGACAAUGAAUGUUUAGAAUUAGCCCUUUUCAUCUUGGAUGCAUUGUCGUCUCGACCAGAGGGAGUAUUAUCAUUGAAGGAUUGUUCGAAGACCAUACCAAAUAUGGUGAGCCUUCUGAUGAGAAUUUCAGAGAGUUGUACUCAAUAUGCAUUGUCAAUCUUAUUGUCUAUAUGCAAACUUGCCCCUGAGGAAUGCUCAUCAAUUGCCCUGGAUGCCGGUCUGGCAGCAAAGCUCCUCCUUGUGAUCCAGAGUUGUAGUGAUCCAGUCUUAAAGCAGCAAUCCGCAGAGCUAUUGAAGCUCUGUAGUCUAAACUACUCUGAUACAAUAUUCAUUUCCAAGUGCAAGCUUUCAAGGACAAUUCAAUGACAUCAAAAUUCUACCACGGCAUUAAGGGCGCCCCACCACUUUGAUGUUUAAUAUGUGGCCAGUCACAGCAUGCAAAGAAUUUCAGAUGAUCUCAAUAUCUGCUAUAUGGGUUUGAGAUACUAAUCAGCUCCCCUGUAAAUAUUUCAAAGUAAUGUUUUUUCCAGCAAUUGAUUCAACAUUCAUGAAGAAGAAGAAGAAGACUCAUGAUGUAGACCUCAUACACCAUGCUGGUUGUAGUUGAAUCAAAUUAAAUUGUCGGGCGGAUGCCAAUGGUUUUUUGAAUAAAUUCCCAGUAGAAAGAAGAAUGUUAAUUAUAGCUGUUGGAUAAAGAUAACUUGUUAGGAGGAAAGUUUUGCUCCUAAUGUAUGGAGCUCGCAAUUGAAAUUGUAAUGGUCGAGAAAUUGCUUUGCUCCACUUUUUGUUCUGCUCUUCUCCUUAGGAAAUUCUACUGUACCUUAAGGUCCUGGUAGAGUGGUAGCUUCCUGUUUCCCUUAUUUUCUUAGUUCGAGUUUUGUUUUGUUUUUGACUCACUGACUGUAGAUUGUAGAGAGACCAUAUGGCCUCUGUCCAAAUUAUCCAUUUUAUGUGUACUGUCUACGUUGAAGUUGUUUGAGCCCGGUGGGUAUUUUUGGUCCAAGACUCGGGGUACGUUUUGGAUAACAUUUGGGCCAGUACCUGUGACCCUUUUUUAAUGCGAAGCCCACGAAGGGUGGCGAAGUCUGGCAACACGCAAGCUGGAGUUUUGCAAAGAUUCCGAUACCCCGCGGGAUCCUUUGUUUCAGUUCGUGUAGGAUUCUACAGGGCAUGGCGAGGUAGAGUUGGAAAAGGACUGUAGUACUCCGCGGGAUAGGAUCGCUUAGUGUUCGAGUUCGCGUACGACGCUACAGUAAGAUGAUGCGGGGCUGUGAGCGAGGUCUAGGCGAGGUCUGUUCUGGACACGUGUUGCACGGAUCGCGCGGCUCGCGAGCUGGUCGUAUCCUUGUGGAAUUUUAAUUGCUGAGUCCGAAUGGAUUGUGAUUAGGUCUAUGCGAAUUGCUAUAUAAGGGAGCUGGACACAAAUCAAAGAGACACAAUCAAUCAUACAAAACAACUGCAAAUCUUCGAGCAUCCUCGAAACCCUAAGUUCUAAGUGCACCUCGCCUUAGAUCUCAGAGCCCGUCUGGACUCGCCUCUCCUUCCUAAUUGUUGCUCUGCUCGCUUCGAACAGUGAGUUUCGAUUCAUAGGUGACUAGAUAGUUUGCUCGUAAUUCCUCGCCCGCGAGGUGACACCGGAGCACUACUUCGCCUGAUUAGAAGUCAAGAACGCGCACCGUUCUCGUUCCGCGUCCGCGCGGUGGCACGCCCUGCAAACCCUAAUUUACUUUUGGUAGCACAAGUUACCUCUCUACCCCUGCUGAGGAUCGUGGCCAAAACAUUGGCACGCCCAGUGGGACAGGGAGUAUAACAUUCUCGUCAUCAUUGGGAAGUCAGGCGGAUCCCCAUACGGGAGACCCUCGAUUUCUUGUUUGAAACACAAAUCACCGCGUUACCAGCCUCGUAACAGCGCGGCCUGUCGCUCACUCACGAAAGACCAAGUAUUAACUCGGUUCGGAAACCCAGAUUUCAGCGAACCUACGAUGGCAGAACUAACACCCACUAGCAGCACUGGCCCCGUCACUCUAGCUGAAGACCAGAUAACGGCCCUGGUCGACCGCCUAACGACUCACACCGACCAGGCAACCCGCCAAUUGCAGGUGGGUCUUGACUCCCUCACCCUGACUGUUAAGAAUCUAUCUGAAGUAGUCAUGAAGGAUAGAGAUAUCUGGCUUGCUAACCAAGAAAACCUUUCUAGGCUCAGCGAGGACUUUAACUUCCAUGCCGGUCAAGUCAGGGAGGACAAAGACUUGGUGGAAGGUUCCCUUCAAAGGAUCCAAAAAGAACUGGAUCAGAGCAAGGUGACUUUCACAGAAACCCUGCAGCUUACCCGCGCAACCGUGGAUGAGCAAACCCGUCGCUUGGACGAGCAUGAUACCAAGCUACAAUUGCAGCAGGACGCUUCCUUCUUUGGAAGUAAGAAUGGCAUAGAAAAGCUCGAGAAAUAUAAGGAGCAACAUGAUAACUUGAGCUUAAGGGUCCUGCAAGUGGAAGACUGGAUGCGGUCUCAGGCACCAAAGAAUCAUGCUAUGAACUUAAUUAGUUCAAGUGCAACUGAGGGAUCAAGGUACAUUCCACCUAAUGAACGCCCUAGGGGGAAUCCGAAGGUCGGGGCCCAGAAGACUCCCCAAUUCACAUUGGGAGCCAGUUCGUCAAAGACACCACCCUUUCUACCCACGACAGGCAACCCUAGAGUCGCACUUGGGGGCGCCGGUGUCUUCCCAUCUCAAGGGAUNNNNNNNNNNNNNNNNNNNNCAAUAUCCCUUCCCUCAUGGGUUUAAGAAUAUUGUCUUCACCACUUUCUCCGGGGAGACAAGGGAAGAUGCAGCAACACACAUGGCCCGUUUUAAGGUCCAAUGCGGCCAAUACGGGAAUGAUGAUAUGCUCAAACUCAAACUCUUCGGGACUUCUCUGUCCGGGGCUGCUUUCACCUGGUACUCCAGAUUGAAGCCUGGGUCAAUAGCAGAUUGGCCCACUAUGGAAAGACUCUUCCGAGAAACGUACGGCACGAUUGAGCCUGAAGUUGGCCUCGACUCCCUCACACAGAUGAGCCAGCAGAGCAUGGAGUCCGGAGUUUCUUUCCUCCAACGCUUUAAGAUCCAGCAAGCCAAGUGUGAUUACCUGCUACCUGAGCAGGAAGCCAUUAAGUUGGCUAUUAGAGGUCUGGAGCACCGCCAGCGGUUGAAGCACCAUGGAGAGCGCUUUAACUCCAUGGGUGACCUGAUUAACAAAGCCGGCAGCUACGUGCUAAUCCUGAACGAGUUAGACGACAAAACAAAUGCUUCCAAAGGAACUUACACACCAGGGAAGAACCGGAUAGUGGGGAACAUACAAACCGCUACUCAUGAUCCAUAUUAUCAAAGACCUGAGGAAGUUCAUACGGAUCAGGACCUGGAUGACAUUGGCGCAGUAGAAUUGACUGGCAAGCCAUUAGCUCAUAAGUUGAAGAACCUAAAGAUGACACGUGAGCCAAUCACCAUCCAGUCCUUUGCAUGGACCAAGCCGGAGUAUGAGUCGUACACCUAUGAUGCUAAGAACGCCCAUUGGGUCUUUAAUGACCUGAUAGAGGCGAGAUAUGUGCACCUGGAUCAUAAGAUCCCGCCCAAGGAAGAGCUGAAGGAUAAGAAGUACUGCUCCUUCCACAAUGUUUACAAUCAUGACACCAAAGAUUGUGUCAAGCUUCGAGACCAGCUGCAGACAUGGCUGAACUCAGGCGAGCUAAAGAUGAAAACACCGGGUAGUACGGCCUCAUUGGUUGAUAUAGACCCUUUCCCGCCUGUAGUUGGCAUGGUCGAGGUAAACUGGGCCAAUCAGACCAAGGACGACGAUCGACGCCGGGCACCUAAAAGGGGCCGCGAGGAAGGUGACGAUGGUGCCCGCCGGCCACGUCGCCAAUACACCUACAACGAAGAUCUUGCACAUGAGGUUUUAGACGAUCUCAUCGACGACGGGCUCGUCACAGUGGCCAGUUCCUUGCCUUACAUCGAAUAUAAGGAGGGGCGCAUUCACUGCAAGUUUCAUAAUAGCUGGGGGCACAGAACCAGCGAAUGCCAGCAGCUUAGAGACCAGGUUCAAGACUGGCUCGACCUCGGGUAUAUUCGCUUUGAGAAUAAGGGCGACUUCAUGAUCGCAACGGCUGACUUCGCGUGGCCUCGAGUCGGCCAGCGAAGAAUCACACUAGACUUGUCACCAAAUGCAGGUUUACGUGAACCGCCGGGCCGAAAUCGCAAACGGCCGGCGAAUAACUAUACUGUCCCGAAUAACCAGCAAGGGAGAGCAGACGACCCAGCUCGACAGUUGGUCACUAAACUCGAAACAGACCGCCCCUCCAGCAAAGAUAAGGGCAAAGCAGUCAUGAGGGACGAUGGACCGUUCCCCGUUGAAGAUCCCCAGCCUAUGAAUCCCAGGACUCGAGAAGAGUUGGAAAGGAGGAUAGAGCGUCUCGAAACGUUCGUCUAUACACAUUGGGCAGAGGCGGUACCUUCAUCCCCUGCCACAAGUGAGAUGGACAUGUCAGACUCCAGCGGUGAACGUCAUAACAACGAGGCCUCGAGCCCUCAUAAAGGCGUCCUAACCGACCCCUAUAUUCCCCCGACGUCCAAAUCAACAAUCAAGGAUGGAGUCUGGUACACACAACAAGGGGGCAAGGCAGUUACCAUCAGCAAGGCUAAGAAGCGAAAGCUCCAAAAGCGAUACGGUAGUAUCCUACGUGCCUUACGGGCUGUCGAAGAGGGCGCUGUACGCCCCUCACAGGUCGCACAGACGCCUGAGCGGAUGUGGAGGGAAGCAGAGGGUUUGCGCGCAUUCCUUCAAAUGCCGCCUGUCACACCCCCAAGGAUUUGCGAGCAGUUCAGCGACGAGCCUGCACCCAAAGCAAACGUCUUUUGCCGACUCGCGGUUCCACCAAAGUAGGAUCCACAGCCUUCCAGGCGCAGGCCAUCACCAGAACCUGAGAGAAGAAAGGAUCCACAGCCUUUCAGGCACAGGCCAUCACCAGAACCUGAAAGAAGAAGCGAUCCACAGCCUGCUAGGCCCAAACCGUCACACAAAGCCUGAAAAGAGGAGGGAUCAACAGCCUUCCAGGCAUAGGCCGCCACCGGAGCCCGAGCGGAGAAAGACUCCGCCUACCGGUCCCAGGCGUAAGCUAUUCACGACCCCGGACCCAGAGUCCAAACGCGAACCGUCUCAGCCCUCACGGCAACGGGAAUGUCAAAAUCUGGAGGCCAAUAUCAGAAGGGAGCCACCACCACCACACCAGCCUCGGGCACGAUCUACCCCGGAGCCCGAGACUCGGAUGGUUCCCCGAUUAUCCGCCCUACAACGGUUGAAAAAAGAAGACAACGAUAAGGCUCCUCUGGCAACAGACAAACAACCAGCCAAGGACCAUCAGCCUUCAACCAAGUCAGUAUGGCGUCCGCGGCAACCCGAGGCUCAAGAGCCACCAAUAGCCGCACAGGCGCCUUCCAGUCCUAACCUCGCCCAACAAAUGGCCCAGCGUUUCCGCGAGAAUUCAGAAGACGACGAGGCACAUUCAGAACCUCGACUUGACCUAGAGGAAGACCGGGACGAAGAGCAGGCAUAAUCAUUCACCUGUAAUAUGAUCGAGGUCUUAGGAUGGGAUGCUGAUGAAGGGUUUAGCAGCGAAGCAGACGCUUUCGCGGUGCUCGAAGGGGAACACGGGAUCAUUGACACUCCUCUGGUCCCAGUUCCUGAACAAUUCUCCUUUCAAGUCGGAAUGGUGUUCUUCAUUUCGGAGAGAUACGCUCUCCCACCAAACAUAACCUGCAGUGCGGCGGAUAUUCCCGUCAGCAGCGAGGAUGUCAGUAGCAUACCCCCGCCAUGCAGCAGCGAAAUGGGCCCGGUUCCGGCACAGGCCGACGACGCCUCACAGGUGGAAAUUACGAGCAGCAUCAAACAUAAGCAAACUCUAACCUUCUCCACACCAACUUUGGACAUGGCCACUCACAUGCGGCCACUGUAUAUCACGGCUGAAGUCGAAGGAAAAAUGAUCAACAAGGUCAUGGUCGACACCGGCGCCGUGGUCAUUGUUGUCACAACCCGUACCAUAGGACUCCUAGACAUCCCGCGCUCGAUGAUCCAAACCACGUCCUUAACAGUCAAGAACUUCACCGGGCAAGUGUCCAGAACCCUAGGCUUGCUAUUCCUCCGGGUCAAGGUCGGGCCGGCGUCACGGGUUUACACCUUUUUCGUCGCCGAAUGCGCUUCCUCUUACAGCAUGAUUCUUGGCCGAGAUUGGAUCCACAGAAGUUUUUGCGUGCCUUCCUCCAUGCACCAAGAACUCAUAAUUUGGGACGCCGAGAAUCGUGAAGCAGUCAUCAUCAAAGCCGACCCGCGGCCAUUCUCUAUCUCUGCCAACUUCAACGAUGCCCGAUAUUAUACUACAGACUUGGGUCCAUUGGAUGUUCAAGGCGUUGAUAACAAGGGCCGCCCAUAUGGAAUAACGACCUCCAAUCUCACUCGAUGGGGGCUUACCCAGGCGAAGGACGAUUUGCAACGUCCUCACACCAUCGCGAGUCCCACACCCCGUUCUGAUGAAUAGUGCCUUCUCAGAGGAGGCACACGAGGCUGGCGAGUCCUUGUGCGAAAGACUCCUUUCGUACUGGGCAGAACGCGAAGCCUACGACAAGGUCGCGACUAUGGAAUAUGUAGAUGAAGUGGUGGAUUAUUCCGAUACCAAGGAGGAAGUUAUUCACUUAGCUCCCGCCGCCUUGGACGACACACCACCUCAAGUCCGCGACCCCAUUUCACAAGUUGACGUAGGGACUACAGAAAAGCCCUUACUUAUUUCUAUCAGUGCCAAGUUGGCGGAGGACGAAAAGGAAACCCUUCUUGCCCUGUUAUGCGAGUACAGGGAUUGCUUCGCCGACAAAUACGAAGACAUGCCCGGCCUGUCCCCGGUCUGCCACCGGUUACCAACUUAUCCCGACCGACGUCCAGUACGGCAGGACGGCCGAUUCAUGCGAACUGAGACUCAGAUCGUAGUCAAGGAAGAGAUUGAAAGCAUGCACCGAUCGGGCAUCAUUCGCGUGGCAAAGUAUAACGAGUGGCUGUCCAAUGUUGUCCCCGUCCGCAAGAAAAAUGGCAAGAUGCGCGUCUGUGUUGAUUACCGCGACCUAAACAACGCAACACCGAAGGAUAUAUACCCCAUGCCUGUGGCUGACCUACUCAUUGAUGCCGCUGCGGGGAGGUGUUAUCAUUUAUGGAUGGAACGGCCGGAUACCAUCAGAUUCCCGUCGCUGAGGAGGAUCGACACAAGACCGCUUUCCGCUGCCCUGGUUUUGCCGGCGCGUUCGAGUACGUUGUCAUGCCUUUCGGACUUAAAAACGCGGGGGCAACGUACCAGCGCGCCAUGAACCUCAUCUUUCAUGACAUCUUGGCGAAGUUGAUAGAAGUAUACAUCGACGAUGUGGUAGUCAAAACCAAAACACGAGCAACCAACGUUGAAGACCUGCGGCAGGUGUUUACACGGAUGCGCCGACACAACCUGAAGAUGAACCCCGCCAAGUGUGUUUUCUUCGCGGAGGCCGGCGAUUUCCUUGGUUUCCUAGUGCAUCAAAGAGGCAUCAAAAUCCCAAAGGACAAGGCAUAGGCGGUAAUCACCGCUUUGCCCCCCACCACCAAAAAAGAGCUCCAACAGCUGCUCGGGCGAAUCAACUUUCUCCGCCGUUUCAUAUCAAACGCGGCAGGGAAGGUCCAGCCUUUUUCACCCCUCCUCAAGCUCUAGGGGGCAACCGAGUUUGUCUGGGAACCACAACAUCAACAGGCCUUCGAUCGAAUCAAGGACUACCUUACGAACCCACCAGUCCUGAUCCCACCUCGCGACGGUACCCCGCUUAAACUUUAUAUCGCCGCUGCCGACUUGUCCAUCGGCGGACUCCUGGCCCAAGACGAUGUGAACGGGGUAGAACACGCUGUCUAUUACCUUAGCAGGGUGUUAACUGAGUGUGAGACACGAUACUCACAUAUGGAGAAGUUGUGUCUUGCCCUAUAUUUUGCAGGGUGCAAGCUGCGCCAUUACAUGCUUGCUUUUACCACGGUUGUGAUCGCUCAAUCCGACCUGGUCAAGUACAUGCUCUCUCGCCCUAUCUUGCGGGGACGCAUCGGCAAGUGGAUCUUAGCCAUGUCUGAAUUCUCGUUGCAAUAUGUUCCGCAAAAGGCAGUAAAAGGACAGGCAAUAGCAGACUUUCUCGCUCAUCACCCACUCUCAGAGCUCACGGCGUUUCGCGAGUUGGAAUUCGCUACCGUGACACUCGCUCCAUGGACCCUGUACUUUGAUGGUUCGCGGACUGACACUGCAGCCGGAGCUGGGAUAGCCAUAGCCAAUCCCGCCGGAGACCGCUUCUCCUACUCGUUCCAGCUCGAUUUCAAGUGUACCAACAACCAGGCUGAGUACGAGGCGCUGAUCAUCGGCCUAGAGAUUUUGUUGAAUUUAGGAGUCCGCGAGGUUCAGAUCUUUGGCGAUUCUUUGUUGGUCGUUAAUCAGCUGGUGGAAAAGUUUAAGUGCUUAAGCUCGUCAAUUGAGCCAUACCUGCGCAAGGCAUUUGAGGUGUUGGAUCGAUUUGACGACGUCUACAUCGAGCACAUUCCACGCGAGUUCAAUUUCGCCGCCAACGAGCUCGCCCAAGUAGCGUCCGGUCUCAGCCUGCGCGACGGCGUGCGCGAACGUUUGCUCAAAGUCGAACGCCGUACGCUUCCCUCUUUCAUCGCUAGGGGGCAAUUUCAGGCCUACACCCCCGAAGUUGCGGCCUUGGACCCUAUCGACGAGGAUUGGCGGCUACCAUUUAUCGCCUACCUCCAGAACCCCAACGACGCCGCUCACUCCAGACAAAUACGUUUCCUCGCCUUAAACUUUGUUUUACGCAAUGGCGAACUCCGGCGGCGUGGGGAAGACGGAAACGAUUUCCGCUGCGUGUAUGGGAACGAAGCUAAACGUAUCAUGCGCGAAGUCCAUUGUGGGGUUUGCGGUUCGCACCAGGCCGGGCCCAAAAUGCGAUGGUUGAUCCGUCGCUAUGGGUACUACUGGCCAACCAUUCUGAAAGACUGUAUUGCCUUCGCCAAAGGUUGCCAAGACUGCCAGGCUCACGGACCAGUGCAACAUAUUCCCAACAUCCCGUUGCAGCCUAUCAUUAAACCUUGGUCAGGUCGCGGUUGGGCGAUAGAUUUCGUUGGCAUUAUUCAUCCCCAUUCUUCUGAGCAGCAUAAGUUCAUUAUCGUCGCCACCGAUUUCUUUACCAAGUGGGUCGAGGCCGAACCACUCAAGGUUGCCUCCGCCAACUCGGUUCGCAACUUUAUUUUCCGCAAUAUCAUCUCUCGCUUUGGUAUCCCGGAGUGCAUCGUUACGGACAGGGGGGCAGCUUUCAUGGCUGAUUCAGUUGUUAAGUACUUAAACGACUACGGAAUCAAGCUUCUCCACUCUACGCCAUAUUAUGCACAGUCCAACGGCCAGGCGGAGGCUAGUAAUUAGGUCAUCCUUGGCAUCCUCCGCAAGAUGUUGGAGUUGAACCCGCGUGUCUGGCAUGAGGAACUCUACCACACCUUGUGGGCUUACCGUACUUCAAAGCGUGGUCCGACGGAUACCACCCCGUACGCUCUCAUGUACGGUCAUGAUGCCGUCCUUCCCCUCGAGAUCAAUAUAGCUUCACUCCGCGUUCAGGAACAACAUCAACUACUUGGCGAGGAUUAUGUCCAAGCUAUGUGGCAGGAGCUUGAAGAUCUCGACGAGCACCGCGUCGCCGCUUUCAACAAUCUCGUCCUCGAGAAACAACGCAUCGUGCGUUCGUACGAUAAAGUCACACGCGGACGGAGCUAUGCUGAGGGCCAAACAGUGUAGCGCGCGGUACUCCCACUUGGGGAAAAAACCGACGGUCGGGGCAAGUAGUCCGCUCGAUGGGAAGGCCCCUUUAUUAUUCAUCGUAUACUCCCCAAGGGGGCAUACCACCUGCGCGACUUGGACGGCACCGUUCAUCGCAAUCCUAUUAAUGGCCGCUUCCUCAAGCGCCACAUUGCAGGAGUUUGGGAACGCGAGGAUCCUCCACCUCCCCCAGACCCCGUCACCACAGUCAAUAGUGCUACGCGCCAUCGCGUUCUCGCUCCGCCGCCUAGCACUAGGGGGCAAUCCGGGAUAGAAGACUGAUAGAGUACGUUGUAACAUACCAGCCUAAAAAGACCAGUAUAAGAUUGGGGCCUAUUCCAGAGGCCCUAAAAAAAAAAAAAGAUAACUCUAUUUUUCUUCAUUUUCUGUAAACGUGCAAAGUCUAAACGCAAAGGCCAGUACAAGAUUGGGGCCUAUUCCAGAGGCCCUAAAAAACAAUAAAUUCAUUUAUUUUGCCCUUUUUGGCGUUGUUUCAAUACAAGUUUCGAACAUCGGCUUUGCGGCCGAAGCAACUACAUUGACAGAAAUGUUGAAAUUAGACUAUGUUUACAAACAAAGGCAUAGAUCUGCAGAUAUUAGAAGCCUCAACCCGCAUAUCUUGCAGGGUUGAAGAAGAGACUGCCGCCGCAUCCUUCGUUUAAAGUUGGCAAACGUCCCGCUUCUUUAGACCAGCACGAGCCUUGACACCGGCCCGGACCUAAGACAAAUUGUUGGGAAGCUAGAGGUCCACUAGACCAGGGUCCCUCAUGCUACCGGUCAUGCCUAGAAGGUGCUUGAAAGGCACUGACCAAAACCUGAAGCGUAGGCGGAUGCGGAGCCUCGAGAGCCUCACGUUUGGACAGAACAGCCGGUGCAAGGCAGAAGGUACCCAACCAUUAGUUCGUCCAAACAAAAGCUUGACCUGAGAGUAGAUUUUCAGAAUCACUCCCGGCCUGAGAGUAGAUUUUCAGAAUCAGAAAAAACGAAGAGUGAAAUGUGAGGUGGGGGCUUUGCUUUAAGAAGGGACAAGCAGAUGUACAGAAGGGUAUAAGAGCCCAUGGCAAGGGGGCAAAGACUUAACUGAUACUUCGCCCCGGCCAAGCGUUUCUUUUUAUAGGCGAGAAGGGUGAUUUUCCUUUCAACAGAUGUCCUCCAUGCAGCGAUUUGCUCCGAGAUAUGAGCUUUGGAGAUAAGGUCGGACGCGUUGUUCCAUAAUGACUACCCGCGUUCCAAGUGAGUAGUUGCAUUGGAAACCCUCACCAAAUCUUGGAAGAAGAUUUUUUUCCUGAGAAGGCAGUUCGUACACAAGAGUUGACAAGAGCGGGAAAAAGUUGAUUUAAUAAUAAUAUUAUAAAGGUUCAUACAAAGGGGGCAAAGCGCUGAUCGGGCCUAAACCCGCCUAGAAGCCCUAUACAAAUCUAUGAGAAGGCCUUCUAAGGCCAACUCUUCAACGUCUGCCUGGGCUUGGGCUUCGUCGGCAGCAGCAGCAGCCGAGUCCAAAGCUUCCUGGGUCUCUUCCGCGGCCUGCACACGGGUUUCUGCUUCUUCAGCUCGGGCCAAGUUCUGGCGAGCUUGAGCAAGCUGAGCUUGCAGCUCCGCUAUCUGAGCCUCUAGGGCCUCCACUUGCCGAGCAUAGACAGUGCAUGGGUUCUCUGACGAUGUCUCAAGGAUUUCAGCGUCAUCAAGCUCGGCUAAAAGGGCUGCCAUCUGAUCGUCUAAGGCUUGGCGGACUUUCUCGUGAGCAGCCGACUGGGCACCGACAUCUUGAACUCGGCGAGCUUGCAGCUCGACAGCGUCGGUGAGUUCCAACACAUGGUCUAGAGCAGGGUUGCUCCCAGCGAGGUGCCGAAUCAGAGCUUCAUGGGCUUCGCGGGCGCGCCUUACCAAGUCGAAUACAUUCAUGUGGGGACCUUGGCGCAGUAACCCAUGAAAGAAAGCCCGGGCCAGGCGAAUGGGCUCUUAAUCGGCAGGCGGGGUAAUCCGGGCCCGAAGACGAGCGGUCCGGGUAGCCAAAGAAGAAGCCGCAUCGCCAGAUGUUCUCGUUGGGACCGGAGUGGUUGGUUCAACCUCUGCAACUGCCUCAAUCUCUGGAACGGGCGGUGGGACCUCAAACCGAGUAGGGACUGUCGGUUCUUCGGUGGUCUGGGCCGCUGAGUCUGGUUGCAAAGGAGAGGGCUCAAGCACAGGUUGAAGGUCCUUUGGCGGAACCGCCGAGGGGGCAGCAAAAUCAGAAAGCCGGGUGGCCUGGCCGAGAUCUUCAUCUUGAGCAGGAGCCGAGGUAGGCUCUGGAGGCGGGCCAGUUUCGCCUAGAGCGUCAGUUGGAGAAGGGGGUCGUACGGCGACUUCCUCUGUAACCAUGGUUUGAUCCCCGACGAUUGGUUCCGGGAUUGGGACUUCGACUAUCGUUGUUGCUCCUUCAAUGACAGCGAGGCGAGGUCGGAUGCGGCGGCGAACCUGUCAAAUACAAAGUUAGCAAAUCGUUUGUUGGCUUUAAUGAGUUUGGUUCGAAGAAAGGUCGCUUACCAAAGCGUGCUCUUGCCGAUAUCGUUCAUCCUCUAGCAGCUCUUCUUCGUCCUCGACAGGGCGUUUCCGCGAGCCUUCGCCGCUUGUUGGCCGGGGAAUAACGGGAGCAGUCUCACCGUCAUGGUCCGCCGCAGGCUCCUCUUAAGCAGGUGCUUUCCCUUUGUCUCCGGCACCCUCAGGUCUUCUGAUAGUUCUCCGGCGGGGGGGCAGACUGUAAAGAUAGACAGGAAAGUUAGGAGGAAGCAUUUCGUCGAGGUGGUAAAGGCGGUAUAGAAUUUACACAGUUAGUGGCAUACCUCGGGUGCGGGAUCGCGUUCUCGAAUGACGAUCCCCGUCGAGCGGCGAGUAGCGGGAACCGGUGGGAGCGCAGGCCUAGACCCUGUCGCAGCCUUUGAACCGCUCUCUUCACGGUCGCGCUGGGCAUCAAGAAUGACCCGGUCUGACUCGCCCAGAGUGUCGUACAGAGGGUAAAAGAUGGCAGCAAAGACAGCAUCAUCUGGGAACCCCCAAUGGUUGUCGGACAAGGAUCGCCACCAAGAGAGAUAAGCGGGGUCAACGCCCAGUGAAGGCUCAAUCUCGAGCAAGUCAAGAGUGAGAGGGAAAAUGUUCUGCAGCGGGGUGACCCGGUCGGACUCGCCAAUCUUCCUCCAGGAGGUGUACUUGUUCACCGAAUGGAAUAGUGGAUAGGGGAUCCCUUGAAAGAAGGCAAGUUGUCUGGCGAAGUGGUUGGGGGCAUACAGCUCAAAGCCUUAUUCAUCCUCGGCGAGCUGAAGGUCGCAGCAUGAGGAUGCUCUCAUGAAGACGGUCUUGGCGUCUGAGUCCGAAUCAGAGCGCGGGAAGAAGCCCGUCGAUAAGACUUCAGGGUGGCGCCGGCGAACCAUCAUGUCUAUGGUGGGAGGCGGUUCGAGUUGAUUGUACAGGAUGGAGAGGCUGGCGAAGAAGGAUAGGGGAGUCCGGUUCGCAGCGUUCCUGCACACCGCGAAGCCAAGCAAUUAGUCCUCGGGCAGGAAUUCCAGCGGGGUUCGCCGGAAGAGCGGGAAGUACAGCUGCAUCCAUAAAUCCAGGAUCCACAGAGGGCCAGCAGAGAGAUGGAAGGGUCUUAGGGACAGCAUGUGCAGGGUCCGGUAGAGCGCGCCCAGUACGGGCUGCCCUAGCCCUACUUCGAUCCCAUUGUAGAGUGCCUUGGCCAGCUUGGUCCAUUUCCCUGUAGGCUUGUGAGCACUGCCACAGAAUGUGAAUUUAUCAAGCCAGUACUCAAGGAAAGCGAUACCUCCUUCGUGUUGUUCUGCAUGGCCGAUGUAGAACUUCCUCCAUACUCCAUACGAGCCUUUCAAGGCGCGGCGGGCCCCCUGGUUGCAGGAGUGCGUAAACUCGGUCGAUGCAAAGUCGCCUGGCGCAUAUGGCUUUGCAUGAAUCGGCAGCCCGGUGAUGGCGAGGAUGUCCAGUAGAGAAAUGCCAAUUUGCCCGAAAGGAAAAUCGAAAGUGUUGGUGGCACUGUUCCAUAAGCAGGCCGCGGCAGCAAUGGGUGCUCGAUCAGCAUGAGGAGGCAGUGAGAAGCUCAAGGCAAUGGCUUCGUUGAUGCCGGUUGCUUUCCAGAUCGCUUGGUCGGUCUGGAGGCGAGCCGUGUACCAUGCCCGGUCCUCCGCGGUGACGCUAGGCCAUUCCCUGACCCGGAUAUUUGUAUGAGAGCGGGCUUGGUGGAACCAUAAGGCGAAGUUUCCCGGUUCGCGACGCUGGGCAAGGAUUGGUCGGCGCACGAAGGCGGUAUAGUGGUUCAGAUCAGCGGCGGACGGAGGUUGUGAAGGAGUCGGACCGAGCAGGGCUGCCCCUGUUUCAAGGAAAUAGAUGGGUGUUCCUUGAGGAGGGUUGUUGGCAAAACGGCGGGCAAGGCCGGUCGACCAAGAGCUCGCCGCCGUGAGGUUAAGGUUUGGAUCGUUAGCGGUUGGUUUGGGAGCCAUUGUUUCUGGGCGGAGUGAGUCCGGUGGUGAAGUUCUGUUGGUUGCAGAAGAAAGGGAAAAGCUUGGUUGGAAAGCGAUGGUGAGACGUGGGGACCCGCAUCGAGGUUUAUAAAGGAGACGGACCGUAACGUCUUUUCAAUCAGUAGCCGUAAUGAGGAGACGCGAUGACGACCGAAACGUCAGCACAUUUCAAAUUUCAAACAGUCACAAUGAUGAAGGGAGGCGAUGAUGCCGAAACGUCAGCACCUUUUGAAUUACGAAUUCCCGUAAAUGGCUCAUUUAGGCCUUUUCGUUUAUCCGUUGCGAAAUGGAUUAAGCUCAAGGCCUAGGGGGCAAUGUUUGAGCCCAGUGGGUAUUUUUGGUCCAAGACUCGGGGUACGUUUUGGAUAACAUUUGGGCCAGUACCUGUGGCCCUUUUUUAAUGCGAAGCCCACGAAUGGUGGCGAAGUCUGGCAACACACAAGCUGGAGUUUUGCAAAGAUUCCGAUACCCCGCGGGAUUCGAUGUCCUCGCGGGAUCCUUUGUUUCAGUUCGUGUAGGAUUCUACAGGGCAUGGCGAGGUAGAGUUGGAAAAGGACUGUAGUACUCCGCGGGAUAGGAUCGCUUAGUGUUCGAGUUCGCGUACGACGCUACAGUAAGAUGAUGCGGGGCUGUGAGCGAGGUCUAGGCGAGGUCUGUUCUGGACACGUGUUGCACGGAUCGCGCGGCUCGCGAGCUGGUCGUAUCCUUGUGGAAUUCUAAUUGCUGAGUCCGAAUGGAUUGUGAUUAGGUCUAUGCGAAUUGCUAUAUAAGGGAGCUAGACACAAAUCAAAGAGACACAAUCAAUCAUACAAAACAACUGCAAAUCUUCGAGCAUCCUCGAAACCCUAAGUUUUAAGUGCACCUCGCCUUAGAUCUCAAAGCCCGUCUGGACUAGCCUCUCCUUCCUAAUUGUUGCUCUGCUCGCUUCGAACAGUGAGUAUUGAUUCACAGGUGACUAGAUAGUUUGCUCGUAAUUCCUCGCCCGCGAGGUGACACCGGAGCUCUACUUCGCCUGAUUAGAAGUCAAGAACGCGCACCGUUCUCGUUCCGCGUCCACGCGGUGGCACGCCCUGCAAACCCUAAUUUACUUUUGGUAGCACAAGUUACCUCUCUACCCCUGUUAAGGAUCGUGGCCAAAACAGAAGUUCAACAAGUUCGUUUUCCAUUCAUAUGCUUCAUGGUCUCUGUAUAUUUGUUCUCUCAUUCUUCUGUAAUCUUCUUCCUCUUCACACCUAGUACUUUUCAGUCUAAAUUUAUAAAAAUUUGGGUUUUCCCUCUCUUUUUUGCUUGUGUACACAGAUUCCCACAGUGAGUGAAAAAGAGGCAUUUUGCAGGUCCUAGCUUUCACUAUAUCAUGUACAGAAGUUUACUAUUUAGAGGUGCCUUCUGUACGUGCCUGUAUCCUUUAGUGGUAAACAGAUAAGAUCUGGACCAAUUGAUAAUUGAUAGGCUUUGUCACCUCAUUCACUCACUUCUGAAUUGAAAGGAUUGAAAUGAAAACUCAGAGCUUGAAACUGGCCAUGUGCCAUUUGUUUCCAAAUUUUGAGUGCAGAAGCAGCAGCAGUAGCCCUACCUCUGCUGCCUAGUGUGUGCAACUUAAUGCUUCUACAGCAAGGCAUGAAUAAUAGUAGCAGAACUGCAGAACUAUGCAGAAUUUCAAAAAGAUGUUAUUUUCAUACAAUAAAAUUGGAUCCAGUACCCAUUAUUGUCUGUUUUAUACUAGGGACGUUUAUACUAGAUGUUUUAGGGGUUUUUUAGUUCAAAAUUAUGAUGGUUUGUCUUGUCUUGACUGGAAGAUCCUUGAGUUCCCUACAAUGGACAUACGAAAUAACUAGUUGCAUUUGGAUAUUAGUUUGGCUUUGCACACCCUUUUCUUUUAUGGAUACUCUGUAGGGUGCUUUUCAUAAUUCACUAUUUACUUUCUUUCUUUAGUUCAUUGUUUGUCCCAAGUUAUACAAGGGCCAAAGGCCAAAGCAAACAAAAGAUUUCUCUCCAUUUUCUUGCUUGGCAAAAAAGCUCCUUUAUGUAAAGAAGCCACUAGGGUAGUAGGGUAUGUUUUGAAUGAGAGUUGGGACUUAUGAGGCCCAAUUUUUUUUAGAAAAGAGGCUAUUCUUGUGGCCAAAUAAAGGGAAAAUUAUAUUAUACCGGAUGACAUAUUACGCAAUAUGUUUUGAAGAAAAAAAAUUUCAAAACAAAACACCCAACUGUCCUGUGCAAAGCAAGUGCUUUUAUUUGUAUCAGUGUAGCAGACAAGUCCCGAAAAAAGAACAUAAACUUCCUGUUCUGCAAUUUUCAUGUUUGUGAAAAUCUGCCUAUGAAUCCAGUCCUUGAAUGAAUAAGUUAAUGCGAGGAACAUGUAGAGCAAGUUCUCUGAAUAUUUUGGGUUUUAGUUGAUAUUCGAUCCUGGAGCUUCUCCUCUGUUUUUCCUGGGCCAAAGAGGAAAAUCUCCAUAUUCUUAACCGAAAGAGAUAUGAUAAAUGUUUGAGCUGACAUCAUGACAGAAGAUAUGACUUUCUUGAUGUUCAUACCGCUUGUUGCUCAAAACCUCGUGAAGUUGUAGUUAAAAGUUUUUGGGGCUUGUGGCCCUAGCCUCACAUCUUCUAUACCAAAAGGGAAGAAAAAUUUGACAGUUCAAUAAAUAAUUUCCAAUAACAUUUCUAUCAAAUUGUUCAUAUCAAAGUUCUUAUUGAUAUGGCUAAUUGGCUAUUGAGGGGGUGGAUCUGUUACAUAGCAGCCCAUUUUGAUGAGAUAUGGACCAACAAUCCCCACUUUGAUAAACCUCCUUUCUGCUAACACUGAUGCCCUUAAUAUGCCUCUCACCUUUUAGCCUCUGACUUAAAUCUAUUGCUACUUCUGCUUCUAAAUUUUAUGAAAUAAAAACCCAGUUACUAUUCGACCUUCAUUAUCACUCAUUCACUUACUAGUCGAGUACUCGAGUUAUACUACGGUUGAUUUACAAUCUUCUCUAGCUUUCAUUGAUGUUGAUAGUUUAGUGUUUGAUUAUUGCGAAACACGGAAACAGUCAUCUGAAUUCAAAGUCAUCAUACGGCUGCUCUUGAUUCUUAAACAUGUUUCGAGUGGGAAUUUUUUCAAUAUAUGUCAUUAGAAUUCAGCCACAAAGUCUGUUGCCAUUCUUUCAAUCUACUUCAAGAGUACGAACAGUAUGAAUAUAUUAGAAAACACAUAAAGCUUUAUGUAUAACAAGUGUUCCUCAAUCAUUAUUAGUAUAUCGUUUACAUAUACCACACAGUACUCGAAACCAAUUAUGGUUUGAAAACUAGCUAGUUGCUCUCAAGGCGGAGGGCAGAUUUGGAGCGCCUAAAAGCUGUCUAAACGGGCUGGGUGGUCUUGUUUUAGAACAUUGUUCAAACCACACAAGUAAGCCUAAGUUUUUAGUCAGCAAUGCUUCGAUAACAACUGCUUUCGCAUUGAAUCUGUAAUUUUGGAUAGCAAGUAAAUUGAUUAGUUUAUCUUACUUGUUUAUCUUUUAUCAGGUAGCAUGUAAUCGAUCCGUUACAUGUUAACCACCAUUAACUGUUACCAUGCAGAUACCCAUUAUAUUACCCUAAACACAUCUUAGUUCCAGUAAGCCAACUUUUUAUUCAUCAACCCUUCGAUAACAACUGCUCAUCAGAAAAAGGAGUCAAGCUAGGAUUCCAAAUAAACACGUGUGCCAGUGAUUGGUAUAGAAUUUUCAGAAGUUUCAUAGUUAAUGGUAUAUAUGCAAGAGCUAAUUAUAUUUGUUAGUCUUCGCUAAUAGUUUGUAUAGUUAAACAACCCCUCGAAGAUUCUCCCGACACUGGUGCAAUACAUUGUGCAAAUUAAACACAUCGAGCUAGUAAUAGCGGCAUCAACACUUCAAUAUCCAACACCACGUAUUGGAACAUAACCUGUCAUAUAUUACAUGGAUCAAUUUUUACUAAAUUGAUUGAUUGAACUCAUUGAAGUACUAUUUCUAAAAGUUCCCAUUCAAUAUUUUCAUAUCUUCUAGCAAGUUUCAAUCAUUUUGUUCAAGUUUUCACUGGUUCUGCACUUCGCUCUAGAAAUUUGGAAUGCCCAAGUCUUACAUCCAUUUCUAUGUUUCACCCAUAACUAGAACAUAUGAGUUUUGGUCAAACGGUUUUCGUUCUUUGAUCUUCCAUAACCAAAGCUGCUUACAUGAACUGAUGAACGAGAUGGAGAACUUCAAAGGUCCUACGCGGCCUUUUAUUCCUUCCAGAGAAGGAGUACUACAUAUUCUGAUAAGCUAGUUUGCGUGACUCAGAUUUCAUUCCAGUCGUGUAAUACUAAUAACAUAGAAACGAAAAUGCUGCACAAAUUGACUGUUUCUUUGGAGUUUGGUCACCUUCAUUUCCCAACUAAUUGAAAGGAAAAAACAAAAACAUGUUUGUUUCCCUUAUUAUAGGAGCACGAGUAUGUGAUAGCGAUUAUUACGAACAAUCUUUGUCAUCCAUAUGUCAUUGCUUACAAAAAUGACCACAUAUAAUAAGUUUGGAAAGAGAUUUGAGUGGCUGCUGCUACUUGAUAUAUAAAUAUAUAUAUAUAGAGAGAUUUUCUCAGCUGCGGACGUCUGCACCGAUUUUUUGGUGCGGAUUUCCAUUUUUACACCACUUUCCGAUCGAAUUUCCUCAAACUUCCUUCUAGACAUAUCUAGAUCAUCUUGUGUAGAUCAUCUCUGCAAAAUUUCAGCCAAUUUGGUGAUCGUUAAGGCCCUCAAAAUCGAAAAACAAAUCUGACGGACUGAAUUCUGUCCGAUUCAGGUAUAUAACAGAAAAACGCAAGUUUAGGGUUUAGGGUUUAGGGUUUAGGGUUUAAUGAUCAGGUAUAUUUAAGUUAAUUUGGUGAUCAUUAAGGCUCUUGCGUUUUUCUGCCUUUUCUCCCACUUAGCUUACUGCUAGACUAAUUGUGUUUUAAGUUAAUGUACGAAAUGAGAUCAAUAAUAUCGACUUCAGUUAUGUAUUUCAUGCAUGCAUGAGCGUUAGUAGUAACAUCGACAAGGCUUCCCAUGAAACUAUGGCUCCGCAAAUUGUCAAAGAUUAUGCUGAUCUUGAUCAGAGGUUAGUAUAUGAACAAUUUGUUCUGGUGUGUACGGAAUCAUCUGUGAAGGGAAUAAGUUACUUGCGCCGAUAUAUGUACGUAUAUACUAGCUAGCCAUUAAUUAUUGAAGAGCUUCUCGAUAGAUGAAGGACAAGCACUUCUAAAAUUAUAUAUACUGAAAUGAUUUGAAGAAGAUUUGGAUCUUAGUCUUAAACAUAUUAUGCAGAUGCUUCAUGCUUGGGUGACAAUUCAACACUCACAUGCUUCUUUUGUAUCCAUACUUAAUUAACAAAAACAAUUACAAGCAAAAACACAUUGCUAAAUCUAGAUUUCUAAAUGCAUUUAUCUGAAAACUAUUGAUUCGAUCUUGCAAUAUAUCAAUAAGUAAAUUGAAAUCAUGUAAUUACGAUUUGAUCAUUAAUUAGUACUUAGUAGCUUUAUGAAAACAAGUCGUCCAACAUGUUUGCUCAUCAGAUCAUUAGAGUUAGAUUACUAGUUUCAUAUUUUGGAGAGAAAUGGUGUGCAAAUGGACGCCCUAAGAAAUGAUAAACCAUUAAACCUAGUUUGCCGGUUCAGACGUGGUUUGGUUAGAAAGAAAAUUGUUGUAAUUUGAUAUGGGCGGCAUAUAAAUCACGGGGUUGUCUAUGGUACUAGGGUGUCUAUAAUUAGCACCCUGAUUCUGCAUUUUUGAGGCAAACAUAAAAUUAAGUUACCAUCCUCAUGCUAGCUAAGUAUAACUUUCAUGUUCAACAACACUACAACAGCGGUGAGAACGUGCAUAGUAGCUUGGCAUCUUUCAAGUACAGGUGAUGAAACUGAUAAACAAACGAUUCACGAGAGGUGGCUUACCGAUCAUACAAAGAACUUGUUUUACAUAUUGUAUAUGUUGGAAAUGUUCAUACAGUUAUUAGAUUGAAAUUCAAGAAUUGACAUCUUAAUUAUAUUUUAUUUAUGCUUGCAUAUCAGUAAUUUUUCCUUUCACAGUACUCCACGUACCUCUUUGACUGACAUUUAAAAUGAAACUGAACUAGUUCAUAUAUAUGCAUUCUCGAGCGGCUAGCUUACCAAGUGCAGUAACAACGCUACCGUUUGUUUAUAUUAUCAAACACACAAUCCUACUCAAGCAGAGGAUUAGUAAGAUCGAGUCUAAGAUAGAUCAAUAGAGCUCUGUUUUCUUUUUUCUUUUCAUGCACUAUCACAAUCAUUGAGCUAUUCACAAAUAAUCGAUCUGGUCAAAUAUUGAAAGAAGAAGAAAGAGUGUGCACGUGUAUCAAUUCAUCAAAGGGUCCUUGAUGUAUAGUAAAAGGGCGGCUGGUCCACCUUUUUCUACACCUUUUUUUUUUUUUUCUUAAGCAGGCAAGUAGUUUAUCCUCUUUCCUAUCUCCCUCUUAAUCCAAACACCAUAUUCUAGUAAUUAAAUCCUACUUAACUAUCAUUGUACCAAUGACUAACUCAAAAGUAAAUGUGGAAGAUCUACAGGUUACAAGUGGUCGAGCUUGUAAGAAUUUAGGUAUGAAAACUCUAUACUCAUGUUCAAAUCUCGUCGACGUUGAUUCUUAAAUCACAAUAUAUUAUUGAUGGUUAGAGAGAAGGAAGCAUUUUAACAUGAUCUAAUGACACAAAGUAAUCCGGACCGACUAAGUAUUUGAAGAAACCAUGUUUUAUCAACCAAAAAUAAAAAAGAAAGCUCACAUGUGACGGAGCACAAGCAGAAGCACAAGCAUAAUCUUCCUAGUAUCUUUAUAGUAUACUAUGGAUUGUUUAGAGAUCUAUUAAGUACAAAGCAUACACUUUGUCACUACAUAGUUGUAAUUUACAUAUCAUAAUUAAAGCAUUGAUGUUUAUUAUAUUAAAACAAAAAUAAGUUUUGAUAAAUUAAAACAACAAACAUGACUUUAGAGACACGCUGUAUAAAAUUACGGGAAUUAUACAGCUUAAAAGUUGAAAAACUUAGAGUAACUCAGUGUCACGAUUACAUUUUGUUUAUGUUUUCCACCGCUGAAGAGAUGUUGAUGUUGAUCGUGUUGAAGUCAAACUCAUUUUUGAUGGUAAACACGAUUUCAAUUUUAAUUGUUCCUUUAGCUAAAGGUGUGCAAGAAAUUGACAAAAGCAUUUUAGGUAUGACCUGACCUAAUAUAAAAAUAGUUCUAGUUUUAUAACAAAUAUAAAAAUGGUCAAACAAAAAGAUUUGACCACAUGUAUUACUUACCUACAUGCGUCACACUAAAAACACCGCCGACGGCUCAAGACAAAACCGCACCUUUGAAACCCCUUCUUCUCUUCUUCUUCCCAACGGCUUCGCUUCUAGGUCGUUGCCUUUCUUUACUUCCCACUCCUAUUCCCCUCACCCCAACUAUAUAUAUAGAUAUGUAAAACUAAUAGCAUAUUCACAACUCCCACAUCUCAAACUUCAGCUCAUCUCCCUCGCAAAACCUCUAGCUAGAUCCACUACAAUGGAAGCUGCUUACUCUUCAUCCUCUUCAAUCACCUCCAAGCAAGCACCACUGCCUUACCACCACUCCUCACUCCACUCCGUCAAGAAAAACUCAGCCAAACCGUGGCGGAAGCCGGCAGUAGCGCCACUCCCUCCGACUCCUCCCCGAGUCUACAAAGUCGACCCCAUCAACUUUCGUGACCUUGUCCAGAAGCUCACCAGUGCACCCGAGUACCAGAACGAGCCGACUCGCUCGACUAACCUCCAGAGUGUGGCGCCUCCACCUAUCGAAAUCCAACGAGGACCGCCACAUGUUCCUUCUCCGGUUUCGGCUAAGGUUACCGGCAGCACUUCGCCGUUUUCGGUUAUGUACAAGGACUUGGCUGAGACGUUAGGGCUGAGUAUUACUCCUCAGCAACAGAAGAAGCCAGUGGAUCAUCAGAAUAUCAUGGGAGACUCGAGCUAUCUGAAGUUGAAUUUGUCGCCGGCUUCGCAGCAUUGGUUCUCUUUUCCUAUGUUGAGCCCUGGAACUCUGACCAGUCUUGAACUCUAGCUAAAAAUUAAGUAGUUCUAGACUGCCUAUACUAGCUGGAGAGAAUAUGUGAACUCAUAUAUGUGAACUCAUUUUCUCGAAUUUGUGUUUUUUUUAAGAGUUCCUUACUUAUUUUUUUGCUUUCAGUUGUAAUGCUAGCUAGCUCAUCAGUACAGAAGUUGUUUGAUCAUGAUCAUUGUGGAAAUAUGGAUUUAAUUAAAGCAAUAAUUGGGUACCUAUAUAUGGACUUUGAUGAACUAUUACAAUAAUUAAUUACAACUAAGUAUAUAUUUUGUCUUAAACUUCGGCUUGUCUAUUACUCCAUUGUCAAUAAAAUUCAUAUUUAUGCCGGUUUAAAGUCGUGCAUUUCAAUUAUAUAUUUCGUCAACGUACUUUAGCUUGUCUCUAAUGUCAAUAAAAUUUAGAAUUCUGGCGGUUUAAAGUCGUGUUUUUUGAAUUUUUGUUCGUUUUAAUUUUGAAAUAUGAAUACCAGCCUAUUUUAUGUAAACAAGUAUUAUGUGAUAGCCCAACCAAUAACUCUCUAUUUUGGUUAGUGGUUACAUGCAUGUCUCGGUUAUUGCUAAUUUUGGUCAUUCUAACGUGACUAUUUUUUCUCUUACGAGUGAGAAUAUAUAUUGAGUUCUUUAGUUCAUCAAUGUUUGCCUUUGAAGUCAUAAUAGGUAUUGUGAUUAUAACCAAUACUUAAUAGAAGUUUAUUGAAAUGAAAUUUAUUUAAUAAAUAAUAAAUAAACACUUUCAAUCACCCAAAUUUAGUUGUUGUACAUUGUUAAUGCAUACAUUAAUGGAGAUCUAAUUAAUGGAAGAAAAAGAGGAUAGAGACAAUGAGACACGAUUUGUAAUGUUUAUCUCCCUCUUUGUGGUAGACUAGAUCCACUUAAACUUGUACUAUGGGCCCCCAUAAUAUUACUAGUUGUAAAUGUGAUGUUGAGUGAGUGGGAAGAAAUCUCUAUUGUCUUAAAUGCAGUACAAAGUGUCUCAUUUCCUUAAAUGUCAGACAAAAAAUCUCAUUUCUAAUCUUCAAAGCAUGCUUGUGGAGGCAUAUUGGUGAGGCUGGAAAUGUGGCUUUCCGGCGAGGUUUUAGCCGUUUUUGAGUAUUGUUGGGUAGCUUAUAUGUUGGGUUACAAGAUGUAUGUUGCGGUCGGACCUCACCAUGGUUCUUGACACCACAAAAAAGGUGACGCUCAUAUUAGCCAUGCUAGUGGCCGGUAUACCAACAUACGUAAAAUGUGCAUCUAUUCCUAGUAACUUAAGCAGCCACACAACAAAAUUGUAUCAACUCUAUAUGGAGGAGAAGGUUCAAAAUUUGCCGCCACUAAAGAGUGUAGGGGACAAUCAGGCGGCCGAGAAAACGAGUGGUGUGUGGUGAUCAAAUCGCUUACCUAAGUUGGUUCGUUGCUUAUAGUCGGAGAACUAGGUGAUAUGGCAAUGGUUUGUACUUAUUGAGAAAAUUAUUAAAGGGACAACUCAGUUCUGUCUUUUGUGUUGUGAAUGAUAUACGCAUGAUGUGAUCAAUGAUGGAGAUAUUACUAUUUAUUUAGUUGAUGAUUUUGAGGGAUCAUUAUCACUUUGCCUCACCUAUCGGGGGGCACCGUCCCCUGUUAGUUCUAUUUUUAAUUCAUAAUAAUUACACUUAUUUAUCUACUAAAGUAUUAAACUUGUUAUAUUUUGAGAUUUUUCGGUGGUAUUUUAUAGUACCAUAUGCUUGAUCAUAAACAUUGUUUUUGGAUUGAGAAUAUUGUGAUCAGAAGCUAUUGGAUUGAUGUUUGGUUUCUUUAAUUUCUUCGUAAAAGAAAAAAAGAAAAAAACGCGUCAUGCAUUCACAAUAUUCCCAACCUAUUUGCAUAUAUUAGAUAAAUUAACAUACACAUGAUCAUAACAUUUGGAUUGAUCAUAACCAGCACUAUAUAUAUACAACUGUUAGCGGAGGUUAAUAAAGCCCAUUAGAAAAGCUAUGGGCAACAGAGUUGAAGUCUUAAUUCUAAGCGAAGAAGUUUCUCCCUCUGCAUUUGAGGAAUCAGCAAGAAUCAUGAUAAUACAGACUAUUGAUCCCAGUAAUUUCUAAGCUGUGACAUGUGAAGCAGAAGUUCAUCCCUGCCCAAACCAGUUACGCUGCUAGUCAUGAUCCAUGGGGGAUGUUGCUUGUAGUUUUCUGCAAUGAACUGCUUGAAAUCCCUGAGGUUCUCGUCAGGCCUUUUACCUUUGCCCCCUUUCAUUUUGUCGCACUUCGUGAAGACAAAAGUCACUGGUAUCUAAAUGCAGAAAAAGAAGAAAAGACCAUGAGGGCAUUAUCAUGAGGUUAAAAGAGAAAGUAUUUCAUAUAAGAAACCAGCAUACAUUGUUUCGUCCAAGCCAAUUCGCACAGUCUAGGUCAAUCCUCUGAGGUGGAACACUGGCAUCAACAAGAAGUAGAACAGCAACAAGAUUAUCUCUGUUUAAAAAGAAACCUUUUGUGAAUGCAGACCAAUCCAUCCGUGCAGCUUCUGGAGCUUUAGCGAACCUGGAAACAAGGUGAACUGCUAGAGAUUAAAAUUAGAAUAAGAGGAGGCUAAAGGUAAUUUCCUCAGUUGUAAGAUAUACUUUCUUUGAAAAAAAAAAAAAAACCACUGGAGUUCUACCUAAUUGUUUCGGUUGAGAUGUUAUAAAUAUGAGUUCAAACAAUUUAGCAACAUGAGGGUAACAGAACUCCAGGAUAAAUAGUUAGCAAUCUUAUAAGCAACAUUAUCUUCACAAUUAGAUAUGAUUACCAAAAUUACAGCUAAAGAUGCAACCAGAGAAAAAUUUAAGAUUCAUCAUUCUUUUUUCCUUGGGUCAAACAUGAUUAAUCAUUUUGUAAUCAACUCCCACAGCACAAUAUAAGGUCUCAGACUCUCAAUCACUAGUAACAUGAAAUGACUCGUAUUGAUUAACAUCCACUAAUUCUUCCUCAACCUCCAUGGGAGCUGUGCAUUCAAAUCUACUGAAAACACUAAGACACCGGCUUUGUGAGUAUGAAGAGAACACCAGGUCAUUCUGGGCAUCUCAUAGGUAAUAUAGGGUUGCUUUACGGAAAAUGGGGGCGCUGUCAAACAGCUUCUAAGUUCUAACAACUAGGACUGACUGUAAAGUCUGGCACAUCCAGAAACAUGAACUUAGAAACAACAGUUGACACAGCAAACCAUAACAUACUUUUCUAAACACCUAUAGUAACAACAGUUACCAUGUGACCAAUCUUGUUAAAAUCAUAAAUAACCUGACCAGAUAGGAUUCCCUGUCCUAAAUCUAUCCAUAGUCAGAGUCAAUUCCUUGCCAUCAACUAGUGCAUGUCAAACAAACUGAACUUAGAACUUGUAACUUUAAAGUAAAAAAAGGCCAUAAGAAUGCUGCGUGCAAGUCUUGAAGCAGAAAUAGGUAUCAUUUUGUAGUAAACUCUCUGCACGCUAAUCAACACUAAAUUCAGCUGACUAUUGGAACCACAUAAGAUAAUGCCAUCAGACAAAGAUAAUCAUAUCUAGUUAGUCAAUUCACCAAAGCCUCAAUCCCAACUAAAUGGAAUCCUAUAUAAAAACUCUAUCCUUUAGUUAGAUAAUUGCAGCUAAGUGAAAAAUAACUGUUAUGUGCUCGGUGCAAACUCUCAUACUGAUACUUAGUCUGGUUGGACUUCACUGGCCCAGUAAGCUUGCAUCACCUUUCAGAUCACAAAAAAGUGCAAAUGCCGACUAUUAAACAAAGAUUAUCUGUAUUGCUGGCUUGGUAAAACUGAUUCAACUCAUUUAGAGCACUUACUUCCAGUUAAGUUCAAGACUUUCUGAGUUUCGGUAGUACAAUUGAACUACAAACAGCUACAUAAUAUAAACAAUCUAAUUAUCAUAAAAACACCACAAUCCCAAGGAGGAGAAGCUAACAGAUCAAUUUGACCUUACACUUGACACGCACUUCAUAAGCUUAAGAAGAACAAAGUUCACAAGCUAAAAUUUUCAAUUGAUACUAGUACUCACUACUCAGUACUCACCCAUAACCAGGCAAAUCCACAAUGUACCAACUUUUGUUCACCAAGAAAUGAUUGAUCAACUUAGUCUUCCCUACACAAAAAAACAAGCAACACCCACAAACCCAAACACAUCAAAACCACCAAAACCUCAAAAAAAGAAACCAACUUUUCUUUAUGAAACAAAACCAAACCUGGCUUCUUAGAAGUGAGAGCAACAUCCUUCUUCUUAACCAAGGCAUUGAUAAGCGAAGACUUUCCCACAUUGGACCGGCCCAGUAUAGCAAACUCGGGGCGGUCAUGUUUGGGGCAGUCCUUAGCUCUACUACUGCUCUUCACAAACACCACCUCCUUAAUCUUGGCAUCGCCAGCGUAGGGUCCGAUGACGAUGUUGGACCCGGGUAGGACCGUGUCUUGGGUCACCUCAUCAUGGUCGACUCCGGGCGGGACGAAGAGGACGGCGCGGUCUUUCUCCAAGAUGGGUGUGGUUUUCGAGGCUGAGGAGACAUGCCGGGAGGGUUUUGGGGUGGUUGAGGUUGGGAAGGUGAGUGUGAGAGGUUGGGGUUUUAGAGAGGGAGAGGGAGGUGGCGAUAAGAAUAUGGAAGUGAAAAGCAGACGGUUUCGAAGUACCAUUGUUUUUGGGUUCGAGUGAGGCUGUGGAAAAUGGAAAGACCACGUCUUUAACGACGACUCGAUUGGCUCAAUGGUAGGAGUUAGGACCAACUAUUGUUAGGCUAGGUGGAUACUAUACAAGAUCAAGUUACUCUUUUUAUUUUUUAUAUAUUAAAAUUAAAAUGAAAAACCACAAAACCGUCCAUAAAAUAGACGAUUACACUAGAAAGCUAUUAACAUAUACAAACCGAUCAAAAAAACCUACAUAUCAACAUGAGGUUUAAAGACCCAACAGUGUACAUGUCCAUCAUUAAGUAGGGGAAUACUCCAAUCAAUUAGUAUAAGAAUCUUUGUUCCUCCCACAAGGCAAUUAGUCUCCAUCUGCCUCAGAAGAGGCAUCAUGCUCUGGUGUGCCCGAACCGGAGGCCAUGAAUUUACCAUCCUCCACUUCUGCCAACCCAAGUUGUUUUGGUCCACGAGCCGAGGUUCGCUUCCCUAACUUGAGACUAGGUCCAAGCCCAAACCCAAAUGCCCAAAUCCAAACCCAAGCAUCAAUAGCCCAAACCUAAAUAAACUUAUUUUGUCCAGCCACUUGCAACGUCGCAUUCUUCGGCAACCUUGACUGCCGACAGUGGAAACUGGAGUCUAACUCUGAUCGACGCCCAACUAUCUUCCAACAUCUGUCGUCGACAACCAUGGGGGAUAACCAUCCUUCCAAGCAUGAGCCCAAUCAACCCAGUCCAUGGCCACUAGGCACAACGCCACCACCACCCUCUAGUCGACGACGUCAACGCCCUUGCAAAAUCCUCGUCGAUGUCGAGAGCUAUCCUCCAUAGCCGAAGGCCCACAGCCCAAAAACCAAAGCAAGAUCGGUCGUCGAAUCCUUCAAGGCAACCUCCCGCCAUUCAUGAGCGCCAUAGGGCUAUGCCGACACCAGAACAUGAACGACAUCUUCAGGAGAGCGCUGCCGCCUAUUGAAACCAUAAGUUAUUUUCUGCGAACCAAACGAGGCCUGAGAGAAUCAGAGUCAUUAGAGAACAUAAGCUGAAUAAUUAAAACCAUGCAAUGCUAUAAGUUUUUUUUGCAUUGGGCUUACUACAAUUCUCGUACAAUUAAAUGACUUAAAUAUAAGAUUUCUUUGAUGGAGACACAAUUUUCUCAAAUGCUUUUUAGACAUAAAUACUAAUCUUAUAAGAUUAUCUAAUGAUAAACGGACUACCGCUGACACACUAAUCUACCAUCCCACUUUCUUUUUUUUUUUAACCCAAGUGGUAAACAAAACGGAUCUGGAUCCUCUCCUAAUAUACCUCUGCUAAUAUUACCCCAUAAAGAGAUCUCGGCCGUCUAUUCUCAAUGGAUGGCCAGGAUUACACUUACAUUUUCUAGGUGAUAUUAUCGUCUCUCUCUCAAAAUUUUCGCCAGCCUCUUCUCUCUCUUUCUCUCUCUCUCAUCCUCGCCAUCUUCAAAAGCUCCGACGGAGAUGAAAACACAAUCCUAGCCUCUUCAGCGUUCUUGUGACCAUCAACGAGUGCCACGACAUUGCUCACCGUUGCGUCGAUCUUUCUUGCUCUGGCAGCGGUAAGCUUCUGAUGCGAAGUGACCUCGACAAGCUCGCCGUGAAGCUUGAUCUUCAUGCCGGAAGUGGUUUAUUGAUUGGGUUGUUUUGAUUGUGGAGGAAAUUCAAGAUGGGUCGGCAGAGAUUGUGACUUUGGUUUAUGGGUUUGGAACUUUGGAUUGUGUAAACGGGUUUUAAUGGAAACUUGAUUGGUCUGCCAACAUAAGCCUGAAUUUCUCCAGAGAUUGUAUAAUUGAACAAACAUCUUCAGAUGUAUUAUCAUCAUUCAACUACUAUACCCUCCUCCACUGUACGAGGGGCCUCCGUUUUUGAUCAAACACACCCUUUUGCACAACAUUUAGGACAUUCAGUUUAUAUCAAUCAGCUCCAACAACUCUUGCAAGCCAACUCCAGUUGUAGAAGAUGUUCUAACAUUUGGACCAGAUGGUACUCACUGUUGGUUCUCGGAACUCUUCGAGCCCAUGCACAAGCCACUUUCAACCCAAGGAUCUUGAUUAUUUUUUGACUCGUAAUCGAAAGAUAGAGAAGAGGGAGAGAUGGGAGGAAAGCAAGGUGUGAGAUUAAUUUGCAGGUACAAUAGAUGAGAUUUUCAUCUCUGUCGAGAAUUUGCGAAGAGAGAGACGAUAUAAUAGAUGAGAAAAGACAAGAGAAAACAUCUCAAAAGCUAAUCAUGACCAUCCAUUGAGAAUAGACGGCCGAGAUCUCUUUAUUGGGUAAUAUUAGCAGAGGUUUAUUAGGAGAGGAUCCGGAUCCAAACAAAACAUGCAAUUUUAAUCACACUGUUACCAAAAAUGCAAUGAUGUUUACAUUUUUGCAAAAAAAAUCAUGUUAGCAAGGUGAAUUGUAUAUAGAUCCUUUUUCCCUGUUUUUUUUUGUUACAAAAUCCUUUUUCCUUUUUGUACAUAGGUUAAUUUGUACUUUCUGAAUUAUUGCAAACCUAAUUAAAAAUUCCCGAAGCCAGAACGACGCCGUAACAGGACUCUGAAAUCGCUUUACCCAACAUUCAAGAAGGCCGACUCUGCAAGUCAGAGAAAACACACUAGCCUUGCCUUCGAAGCUUUCCGAUUUUCCGAUCACAAUGUCGUGGCUCGCCAAAUCCAUCGCCAACUCUCUCAAACUCGACGACGACGAAGACGACUACACCAAUCCCAACCCCACCACCAACCAAAACCCUAACUCCAAUGACCCCAACUCACCUCAACCCGGCUCGCCGUCCUCCGAUCCCCGCGGCGGCGUCAAAGGCGACCUCUCCGAGCUCACCAAAACCCUAACCCGCCAGUUCUGGGGCGUCGCAUCCUUCCUCGCCCCACCGCCCGAUGCGGCCGCGCCGAAACCCGCCGAGCAGGGACAGCCGUCCGAUCCCGAGGUCUCCGAGGAGGACGUGAUCGCCGGAAUCCGAAGCGAUUUCGCGGAGAUCGGCGGGAAGUUCAAGAGCGAGAUCUCGAAGUUUUCGAGCAAUAUAAAAGUUUCCGAGUUCACUAAGAUCGCUUCGAAUUUGCUUCAGUUUGGAUCGGAGGAGGAGGCCGAGGCGGCUGGGAUUGCUCUCGGUGUCACGCCGGAGGUUCUUGCGUUCGUCAGAAAUAUCUCUAUGCAUCCGGAGACUUGGCUUGAUUUUCCUCUCUCUGAUGAUGAAGAAUCAGAUGGUAUGCUCGACUUUCGAUUGAACUUUUCGACUAAUUUGAUUCAAUGUGUGUUCAAUUGAUGCGUGAUUUUGUUUAUUUUAGUGUAAAUUAGUGUUUUUAUGAAGGAUUUGAUAUGAGAUAUUUAUUUUUUGCAAAUAGAUUUGGUGUUUGUUUUGAUCAGAGGUCAUUCAGUAAGAAUGAGGUGAAUCUCAGGUAAGAAUGCGGUUUGGGGGAAAAGAAAUCAUUCACAUUUUGGCUGAAGUGUGAAAUCAGAGUGGAGGUGUUGUUGAUUUGCGUAGGCUGGUUUAUUGCGGGGCUCAAUAAUUGAAGUUAUGAUGGGUUUAUGUAAUUUAUGAUUAGCAUUGUUGGAACUUUGACUUGCACAGAAAUGAGAACAUUUUGAGUUUUGGUUUUGUAGAUUUCGAAUUGUCUGAUGUCCAACAAGAGCAUGCUCUGGCUGUUGAACGUCUUGCACCGGCGUUGGCUGCUCUCAGGAUAGAACUUUGCCCUGAGCAUAUGAGUGAAUCUCACUUCUGGAUGAUUUACUUUGUGCUCUUGCAUCCUAGACUGAGUAAACAAGAUACUGAGCUUUUGUCUACACCAAAGGUAAGUUGGUUUUAUGCGACAGUGAUCCAACACUCCCGUUUUUGAUUAUUUUUUUUGGGUUGGUUAUGGUGCUAUGCUUGACUUUAUGAUAACUCUGCAGAUAGUAGAAGUUAGAGCAAUGUUGUCUCAUGAGUUGAAGAAGGGAAAUAUGGCAAAGCCUGAAUCUGACCCUUCACUAAGUACCGCUGCUUUUUCAAAAGGAAUUACUGAUUCUCCCAAAGAACAGCAACUUUCUGUGCCUCAGUCUGACUUAGUGCCACCCGAAACAUCUACCAUGAGAUCAGCUCCUCUACCAUCAACAGCUGAUAUUGAGACAGAGAAGCAUCCAGUCCAGAGUAGUGAGAUCCAAAUUGUUGACAAGCCCGUUAUUGAAGAAAAACCAGUGAAAGAGACCAAAUAUCCACUGCCGCCCUCCACAUCUUCAUCUAAAGUCUUGGAUGAAAAAGAUGAGGAUGAUGCUGAUGAUUGGUUGAAAGAGGAAUCAGAGAUGGAUGGGGAUGGUGUUGGUGGAACUUCCAUCCCUAUAGAGAACGACGAGGAUGUAUCAUUCAGUGAUCUUGAGGAUGAUGAUACAGAUGUGCCAUCAGGUUACAAGAAGGCCACAUCUGGCUCUGACUCGUCAGCCAAAGAUUCAAGAGACUGGGUUCAGCUAAGCAGAAGUUCUCCUGAUUCAGAUAAGGACAACAACUCUGUUGAAAUCAGACGUGCUGGGUCUCAGGUAAGUUCCCGUAAUCCAGAGACCAAAGAAUCUAAUGACUGGCUUGACGUUGAUGACAUUGAUGUCAUAUGAUGACUAAAUAAGAACCCUUAUUAGGUCAAUGUGGCCUAUUUGUUUGAUUCAUCCCUUAAUGUGAAUAGCUUGUGAAAGGUUUCUUUUAGUCUGAGUUAGGCUAUGGGGGACUAUGAUUGUACAAAAGGUUUAAUACUGGAUUAUCAUUUCUUAUGCAAGGAUGUAUUUAUGUGUAGUAAUUACAGCACCAAGAAAAUAUUCUUGAUCUGUUUAUUUCAUAUAAAAUUGUACUUUAAAGUUUAUCCACACUGUAAGCCUGAAUGCUAGAUACCUUUUCGUUUUGUCACUAAGUUCUUUAAUGGUUAUUCCUUGGGGGAGUUGAGCAGAUUUGCCAGAGCUAGCCAGUGACCUGAUAUUAAAAGAAAGAAUUGAAAUUUGUUUAGUCUUUAUGGUUUGAAGUCGACAUCUGUUUAGUCUUUGUGGUUUUAUUUUAAUCUGAACAGUCCUUAAAGUCACAAUUUUACAUCCAAAUAAUCCUUAUGGUUUUAUUUUAAUCUAAAUAGUCCUUAAAGUCAUGAUUUUUCAUCCAAAUAGUCAUUCCGACUAAUUUUCUCAAUUAAAAGUUAUAAGGACUAUUUGGAUGAAAAAUCAUGACUUUAAGGACUAUUCAGAUUAAAAUAAAACCAUAAAGACUAUUUGGAUGAAAAAUCGUGACUUUAAGGACUAUUCAGAUUAAAAUAAAACCAUAAGGACUAAACAGAUGUCGACUUCAAACCACAAGGACUAUACAAUAUUUUACCCUAAAAAAAUUUAGAAACUUCACUGAUAAACUGCUUAAAAUUAUAAUUUAAUACUCAUCUUAGUGUCUUAGUGUCACUUGAUGUUAAGCAUAUUGUCUAGUUAUAUAGUCAGUUUUUCAUAAGUCUUUCCGCAUAAGAGUGCAAGUGCCUUAUAGCACAAUUUCCUGUUGUUCUUCAUAAGUUCUGAAGACAAUUGUUGCAAUGCAGCGAGAUAUUAGCUCCUAAUAAAAGUCAGAUAAGCCAAAAUGCCAUCCCUUAAUUUUCCAAAUCAAUUACACUGCACACAUUGUACUCAUUUUCUACAAAUCCUCAGAUCCGCUGCUGUCAAAUUAGAUUUUCAGAUUGAACGUGUGCACACCUCAGCACAAGCACAUAUGUGUAUUGUAAUGCUGUUACUAAGAAGCAGAGCGUAAAAACUUUCAUUCCCAUUGAUUUAGUUAUUUUCAACUUUUUGGAUAACCAUCUUGUAUACUUGUGUGCAUUUGAAUUCCGGGAUUUGAAGCACUCCCUGAGUUCUUGGGGAACAAGCAUUUCGAGAAGUGAUAUACAUUCUCUUCUUUCAUGACAUCUUUAGUUGCCUGUUCUACUUAUUACCACCCCUACCCUUCUUCCUUCUGCUUGAAAUAGUAUCAGCAGAUUCCCUUCUGAUUUAGUGUUACUGUCAGGUAGCCUACGUAUAUGCAGGUUAUGUGGUUUUCUUUUUCUCUAAAUCAUUUUCUCUCUUUUUUUUUGGUGUCGAUGUUGCUGGUUCUGCAGCUAGUAUAUGUUAACAAAACUUCCUAAUAACCCUGUGCCCUGUGUGAUAACUGCUCUGUACAGUACCUAUGAGCCUCAGGCUCAAAUGGGCAUGCGACUAGGAUAGUAGGAUUAAUAUCAGUUCCAAAUCUUCCUCCAAAAUAAAAGCGAUCUAGGUUAUAUUGAAUUCUUGAUUGAACUGGAACAAGCUAACUGGCUAGGAAGGAGAGAAAAACUGCUGUCCUGAAUCUACAAACUUAUUUACACAUAUGGCAUUCAUGGAUACAAGAAAACAUCAUGGAAGUAACCUGAAACUCUAUAAUCUAAUGGGUCCAAAGCUGCUUGAAAGGCGCUCCAGUUGAGACCAGACCAAACUUCCAAAUGACAAUCUUGGUCUAUCUUCUUCAUCUUCUACUCUUGUGUUUGGUACUCUUCGGCUUGUCCUUGAAGAACCACCAUGAGCAGCCCAAGUCUGUGGUUUGUGAACUGCAAUCACAGAUCCUCCAACCUCCUUUCUCACCGAUUCCACUAGGUUCAGAUUCACAUCGUGACCUGAAGUAUCUGUCACAUAAAUUGAUCCCACGGCUCUCUCGCCAUAUGUUCCGAUCUCGGCUCUUGUUAUUGAUAAACCACUCUCUCGGAAAACCCUUGUGAUGUCAGAUAGUAGUCCCAUCCGGUUUUUGGCGCAGAUGUCAAGUCUCAAUCCUUGUGAGAUCCUUCUCUCUAUUGCAGCAACUAAACAUAGAGUGAGCUUGUGCCUUUCACUUUCUGCGUUCAAAGUGUAGCCAUCUUUGUGCCUCACAAAAUAUUCCUGUCAACAUUAAAAAUCACCAUUAUCCCAUAGAAAAGAAAAUAUACAUCACAAUGUUGUAAAUCUGAACUGUUGAUUAAGAUGUACCUGAUCAGCCAUGGUGCCCCUGGAAGAAACCAGAGCAUGGAACACAACAUAUUGCAAGUCAGUGAGAGCACAAACUGUGUCAAACAACAGCUUAGGACGAUCUCUGCAUCUUACAUUAACAAUCCAGUACCCUUUCUCCUUGCAACUCUCUAUCGACACAUGGGUUCGGUCACAACCCUUCUUGUGUCCUUUAUCACCGCCAUCGCAGCCCCGACACAUCUCGUAGUCAUCGUCCCCGUACAUCAACUGGUGGAGCCGCCGCUCCGUGUGGGUCCGGCCCGCCGCGGGGGUGGUCAGCCUCACACUCCUCUUCUCGCCCUUCUCGUGAUGGGCUUCAAUCACAUUUUCUAGCUGCUCUUGUACAUUUGAUAGCCUUAUUGGGUCCAUAAUAGGCCCUCCUUUCAACCCAUCUUCGACAUAGAAGAUACUCGCUGUUCGGGAGCUGUGGGUCCAAGUUACGGCUGCAGUAAUGUUGCAGCCGAGCUCAACGAGGACCGCAGAUAUCUCAGACAUUAACCCCGGUCGAUCCUUGGUGGUCAUUUCUAGGGCUAAAUCUUUCACUCCCGGUGCCACUUCUUUUCCUAAGCAUGUUCUUGCCUCCUUAGUAAUCCCUCCCCUCCUAGCACAAAGUGCCUGCAACAUUCAUCAAUUUGUUGUUAAAACAAUGUAAAAGAAUGUAUGCCCAACUUACAAUAUAUUAAAGUUGAGCAGCUCAAUUAUGUUCAAAAUAAAAAUAAAAAAACCUUAGCCAAAAAGAAAAAAAAACAGAAAAGAAAAAAGACAAUAUUUCAGAGGGAGAAAGAGACCUGCUGAAUAUAAAGUAUGAUGCUCUCGUCAGUGACUUUGUUGCCGAGUUGAUCCGUCACAUGGAACACUGCAACCACACCAUGCAAAUCAAAACAAAUCCACAUGAACCAAUCUGCCAAGCAAGUAUACUUUACUCUCUACUCGUGGGGAUGACUCAUGCAUACACAUCUUUUCUUUAUAUCAAAACGAAAAGAAAUUAUUAAAUGAGGUAAUAUAUAAUGCACAAAAAAAAAAACAAUUACCAUCCAUGAACCAUCCACCAUCAGAGGAAAUAUAAGAUUUGGAAAUAACAAGAUCAAGAUCGGUCAAAACUUGGACCAUCUCCAGUAAAAUCCCGUGCUUGUUUGCACUGUCAACCUGUGAAAAAAGCUUGUAUAAGUAAAAAUAAACAGAGCUUUUUCCAGGUCUCAUGCAUAUCAUUUUCAUCUCUCUCACUCCUUAACCUAAUCGAUGAACUUUUCAAAGUACUACCUCUCUAUGUGUUUUUUGCAGGUAUAGCAAUCGGGUCCAUGGUAGUUUUCCUGGUCUGGCUAUAUAUAAUUAGAUGAUGUCAUCUGGUUUGGGUUUUCUGGGUAUCUGGUUGCGUAGAGAUAGAGAGGGUUGGAAGCUUAAAAGUGACGAAACCUUGCAUGGAACUGGUAACCCUGCAGGGUUUGGAAACUGGAAAAAGUGACAGAAAAUAAAUGACGAUAGCUACUAAAGCUUUUCCAUCUCUUUCUCUCAUUUCAAUGGCCUCCACCUGGUGACACCAAGCCACUCGAUCCCUCUAGGCUCUAAGUUAGUUAUAUGUGAGAUUAGUCGGGUUUAUGGGAUCUAACUUUAGUUUUUUUUUUUUUUUUUUUGGUAUUACGUAGUUUAAGAAUUGAGUACUACUACGUCUGUUGUGUUUGGCAGCAAACCAUAAUGGAAGGGAUUAUAGUUUUUUUUGUUGAUCCAUGGUAUCUCCUCUCCUUCUGAAAUCUAUGGAUGACUCACUUGGACACUAAAAAAUUUGAAAGCAACUUCCCAACAACACAAAGAUAUUUUUUUUUUCUUUUAUGUAGAGCUCCAAAUCAAACCGAUGUCCAUCACCUACCGACACGAUAGACUAAUAAUAUUGUAACAUGUAUGAACUUGUUAAAGAACAAGUAGCUAGACUAAAGCAUGAUGAACGAGUAGGCAACAAUGUUUAUCAAACUAACAUAUGAUCUAACCUUCACGAGGGUGCAAUCUUUGCAUGUGUCGUUGUCGAUACAAACCCUGCAAAGCCAAGCCAGAAAAUAGAGGUGAUCAUGCACUGAUCGAUUCUCCAUAGCUUAUACUUUAGGCGAGAAUGAAAACAUAGAUGAAAUAGAUGCAUACCACGGCGGGUAGAUUCUUUCGAUGAGGCAUUCGUACUCGGGGUCGAUAUAGGGCUGGUAGAUUACCUCCAUCUUCUUCAGUUAUCAACACAUGUACAAUACUGAGAUUGCAGCUGCUUUGUUGCAGCAAGGAGAUAACAUUGCUGGUUUGCUUCACCUGAAUAUCAGUAUAUAUAAACAAGAAACAAAGUAUUUAAAUUGAGACCGUCUCAAAAACCAUUCUAAAUUAAAAGAACCCGUAAAUUCAAGAUAACUUGGGAAAAGGAUAAGAGAGCGGCGUCUAGCUUGGUUCUUAAGUUAGUUGAAAUAUCACCUAUGUAUGAUUGAAUUGGGAUUCCGUGUUGCUUUCUAGUUGUAGAAGGAUAAGAAGAACGAAGAUUUACCUGAUGAUUACCUAAAGAAUAUUCAAUCAAGGAGAAGACUGGGAAUUUGUGAAGAAAAUUUGAUUGUUUUGACCCGGAAAUACAGUGGCAAUUUCAGAUAUAUAAAACAAACUACGUUGAUUCACUCCACAACGGAAAAUAAAAGACCCAACUAUCAGAGUCAAAACGUUUUAACCCAAGACAAGAGUUCAAUUCUCUUGAAGAAUCAAAUUGUUGAUCCAAACAAGAAUGAAAGAGAAUAAAUUGUAGUGAUGAAUCAAAAGUUCAAAACUGAAAGAAAUCUGAAUUAUGAACAAAACCAGAUCAAAAUCUUUUGGAAUUCAUUGACAUUGAUUGAAAUUCUUUGUUGGGAUCGUAUAGAAAGUAACAAAAUCCAGCAGAGACUGACCUGAACACACAGAGAGCCCUUCUGUUGUACACAGAAGCGAAAUUUAACAGAGGAAGAAGCUAGAAGAGAACUUAUUGGAUUGUGGAAAACACAGAGGCGCCCUUAGAAUAAUAGCUUAGCUAGGAUCAGUGAGUCCCAGCUAUAUAUAUAUGUCCCUAAAUUUAGAAAAAUUGGUUUGCUGGUGACAGAAAUAAACAGACCGAAAAAGAUGGGAUGGAUAUACGAGACUCGUCGAUUAAUAUAACAAACACUGAUCCCUAGAAAAAAAAAGAAAAAAAGAAAGAAGAAAAAAUAAAAAUAACAAAAACACUGCUGGCCUCUCUGUUGCUUUCUUUACUGUAUUUGUGGGGAACAGAAAAACGUGUUAGAUUAGGGUUGAUCGAGGCUUCCCAGGAGGACUGAGACUUUGGUUACCAACCAGCCACGUACAAAAUCACUGCACCACGUGGCGGAGGGAGAGCUGCUGACACCGCAUCCGCCGUGAUGAUGAUGCUUCGGCAAAGGUGCGGCGGCUCGGGUUUAAGAUAGACUGUGGAUUGUUAAGCAGGAAUCUGUUUCGGGAUUUUACAGCUAUAAAACUGUUGGAGAGAGACAGGGGGGUUUAUCCUAGGCAGAGUACACAAGGUGGUGACCUGGACAAUUGUCUGUGCAAUGGGACAUGGAUAUCAAGGUCAAAGAAUCAUGAUCUUGCCGUAGAUAUCUUUGCCUCUACGCCGUCGGGAUCGUGGUGUUGUGUGAACGGGUUUGAUAUGAAAGAGUGUAUUUUACAAGUUUAUAUUGACAUGUCCAUAUGCAUCCAUUUUGAUUGAUAUGAUAAGUACAUAAUUAGACCCAAAUUAAUGGAAGUUAAACGCAUCCAAAAAUCUUAUAGUGCAAAAGGGGGAAUGAUCAAAAUGAUCAAGAUUUGCGAUCGUCAAAUUGUAAACAUUGUUUAUUUAUGGAACAAAAUAACUUGAAACCUAAUGGGUAUUAGUAUUAUGAGUGAGAUCAAUCACAGUAGAGUGUAUUGCUCAUUUUAAAGAAAUUUUUAGACAUCCAUAAUGAAUAACUGAGAUGAAUAAGUGAGUAUGACGGUUGACAUUAUGAUAAGUUUUUUGUUUUUAAGCAACGAAUGUAUUCCAGUGGAAUGAAAACAUACGACAAAUACUACUAGGUCAAACAAGAGAAAGCUCUAAUACAAGAUGAUCAAGAACAAACUUAUUAUUCAAACUACUACUAAAACCUAAAGGUGCAUCCAAAAAACUAAGUCCAAAACGGUGUACACUACACUAGAAAGAAAAUAACGUACGUACACCACUCUAAGCAAAAGUACCAUUGUUAGAGUUGUGUAGACUAGGGGUCUUCAAUACUAAACUACCUCUAAAGACCAUUAAACUAACAAAAAUAAGCCCAAAAAAGGUAGAGGCCCAAGAGCCCACUACCCAAACUCUUAUCCCCAUCCAUUUAUAUCAAUUCCAGUUCAUUAGAAGCUGCAUGUCGUCGUCGAAUUAGUAUGGUGACCAGAGACGCCACCAGACCAUGAACGCCGCACAUCGACCAAAAUUGUUAUACCAAGCGCUUCCAAGAACCAAAUUUUCCUCCUCCGCCGCUUUUUAAAUUAUAGAGUGGCCUCGAUCGCACCAAGGCUCGUCGCCUGGCUGACUUGGAAAAACGAUCACAUAUCCCGUCUAGAAGGAACUCAAAACGCCCGAACUUGUCACAUAGUGAAACCAUAAAAAACCACCACCAAUCAAAAGUUGUCGCGUUGCCGCCCUCAAAUAAAUAUGCAUAGUUGCAUACCAAACUACUUGCUUCUCUGACUUGAAGGAACCGCGUUGGGCCGUAUAUUGCAAUCGGGAAUCCGUUGUGGUUCAACGAUGCCUGCUCCACGAAACAAGGUUUCAGAUUGCUAGCCUUUCGCGCUUGUCUAUUUGCUUAAACCAUGAUAAGUUAAUCACAUUAGGAUUUAGGAGUAAUUGUUAGGUAGGCUGUCCCCACCACGUGGAGGUUAGGACGACCCUAUAAGAAUGCAAUAAAUUUAGAAGAAAAUACUUAUCACUUAUUUUACUUUUUAAAACAGUUUUGUCUCUCGAUUUUUAAAUCAAACUAGUAUACCCUUGUAUUUUAAAUUCUCAACAAUUUUGUCCAUUUUAUCAAUUGAGCCCGUUAUCAACCUGACGUGGCUCACGAUUUGACACAUAUACAAGUCCACAUCAACUAAAAUGACUAAGAUACCCUUAGCUAAAUCUUCUCUCUCUCUCUCNNNNNNNNNNNNNNNNNNNNNNNNNNNNNNNNNNNNNNNNNNNNNNUACUACUACUACUACUCUCUCUCUCUCUCUCUCUCUCUCUCUCUCUCUCUCUCUCUCUCUCUCUCUCUCCCCUAAGUUAAAACACCCUAUAUUUUUGUAGACGCAUAAAAUUUAAUGAGAAUAAUAAUCAUUAAAUUAUUCAUACAACGCAUGGGCCUGAAAAAUUACAUACGUGGCUCGUGAGUCAACAAAGUUGAAAAGUCUUCGAAAAUGACACGUGGCGGUAUGUGAAUGGUCGGUCGACAACAAAAUCAUCAAUCCCGACUAAAGUCAAAUAUUAAACGUCAAUUGAUAAUCAGACAUCAAUCAAAUCAAAUUGAUUAUCUAAAAGAAAGUCAGAAUUUAAUCAAAUUGGUGAAAUACUUUAUCGGUCAUAAUUAAAUCGAUCAAUUAAGACUCAUUGAUUUAAUUAUGGUAAAUUGAAUCAAUCAAUCAAAAAUGAUUGAUUUAAUUAUAUCAUUAAGAAAAUACAAUUAAAGUUGUGACUUCAAUGCAUUCCAUUUACAGAGGAGCAUCGACACUAGAAAUAUCCCCUCUCAUAUCAAGAGGAGGAUUUCCGGACAAGAGAGAAAAAUUACUCCCGAGAGUUCAGAAUUCUCCCAAAACCCUUAAAGAAUCAUCAAGCUGCCAAAUAGCCGAUUCUUUAUCAACCUCAAGCCUAGGAGUUGUCAAAUCCCGAAGAGUCCUAAGUUGCCAAAUAGCCGACAUCUUCAGCAACUACAAGACGAAGAGCAACCACCAUGUGAAACUGCUCGUGGCCCAAACCCGAUCAACGUCAAGCCUCUACGGCCCUUGAUCAACCCUCGUCUUCAAGCCUUUCAACAAAUCAAAACUUCUACCAAGUUCUUCAACAAGCUCAUGGAGAAUCAACAACCACCAAACACACGUGCUGAUUCAUCCGCUAUCAAGCCGAAGAACGUUCACCACGUGACACCUCUUGCGGCCCAAAUUUUUCCAAGAUCAAGCCUCUACGACCCUUGGUCAACUUCCUUCUACAAAUCGUCAACACGAUAAGAAGUUCAAACUACAAUAGUUCAAUUCAAGAUCAAGUGCCCGUCACCCUUGGAUCAAAUCAACGUCGGAGAUCGAAUCAGAGGACAUUCUUGUUAAAAGAAUACCCACAGAGAUUAUAACCCUCAAAUUCAAUCAAUACAAUUAUAUUAUUUUGUACACGUGUCUUUCUGUUAUUCGUUAAAGGAAUUUUCGUGUUUACAACUUUACCCUUGGUUAAAACAAGCUAGCCCAAACAACUCUGCCGCCGCCAACCUUCAAAAAUGAAUUUUGUAACAAUCUGUUUCGGCCUAAUGAAACGGCAAACAAUUCAGAAUAUGCAAGAUAUAUAGAAUCGGUAUGCAAACUUGUUACGGAUAUUUCAACUAACACCUUAGCUGUAUCUGAAAUAGAAAUCCUAACCAAUUCAAAAUUAAAAUCAACUAAGUUAAAACAAUGACCAUGAAUGAGUCUAGUUGAGGUGUUAGUUGGAUAAAAUGACCAUUUGGAUGAAAAAUUGUGACUUUAAGGACCAUUCAGAUUAAAAUAAAAUCAAAAAGGACUAAACAGAUGUUGACUUCAAAUCAGAAGGACUAAACAAUUUUUUUUUUUUUUGAUAUUUUGUGCUUAAUUGCUUUUGUUUUGGCCCGUGCGAACACAAUCUUGGCUUUUCCUGGGUUUUUUUUUGUUACAGAUCUUUGGGUCGUUAUACAAUGACAAGUCUUUUAUUUCUAUGUGGUAACUGUGAUCGGAUAUAAUAUCAUUUGAGAGUGACAAUGAUAUAUAAAUAAAUAUAGCUUAUGGUGGUUGUUGAACAUUGAAACAAAGCCGGUGAUCGUUAGCCUUCACAAAAUCACAACCAGAGAAAGCAAGAAGUAGACGCGUCAAUAAAGCUUUCUCAUUUUUUUCAGCACCAGACGGCUUAUCCUCCCCUGGAACGAUUCUUAGCUCAUCCCCUUCUCACUCCCACAGGUCUGAUUCUUUCUCUUUCUGAUUUGUUGAUACAAAUAAACGACAACACCCAAAACCCAACUCCCCAUUUAGCUUGUUCCUCAACUUUUGGACCCAGUUGAGGUAUAGACCUGUUCUUACAUAAGGCCUAAGAUUUAGACCCUUUUUCUAUAGCUUUGUUGAAAGUUUGGAUCAUAAUCAAAAUUGGGUCUUUGAGAUUGGUGUCCAUGAUGGACCUGGAGGUAGCGAAAAAGGGUUUUGAUUAUGCCCAGAAAAGGAAGAAGUGGCUUUUUGUAAUGGCUGCUUUGGGCUUCUCUGGUUAUGGAGCUUACAGGGUUUAUCACUUGCCUUCUGUUUCUCGAAAAAGAAAGAGGCUUUUGAAGCUUUUAGGAGCUUUAGUUUCUGUAGCUGAAGUAGUUUCGGACUCUGCUGAGUCGAUUGGAGUUGUGUCUAAAGAUUUAAAGGACUUUCUUCAAUCUGAUUUUGAUGAAAUUCCAAAUGGUUUGAAGCAAGUUUCGAAGAUUUGUAGGUCGGAUGAGUUUUCGGGGUCUGUUGUUAAGGUCACACAAGCUGUAACAUUGGGAGUUUUGAGGGGUUAUCAAGCACAGGCUAAGAGUCAGAGUAUUGGUGGUGAUGGAGUUUCUAGUAAUACAGGCUUUAUGGAUCAAGUUAUGGAUAAGCUGUUUACCAAGGCAGGGACUGGUUUUGUAUCUGUUGUUGUUGGGAGCUUUGCUAAGAAUCUGGUGUUAGCUUUCUUUUCGGAUGAGCAGUCUGGUGCAGGAUCAAAUUCGACUGGUUCUCCAAGGAAGGAUCAAUUUGGUAUGAAGAUGAAUGAUGUUCCAAGAUGGGUGGAUGUGGCUUGUAGCGAAAAGUGCAGAGACCUGAUUGCUGAUUGUAUCCAGCUAUUUGUGAGCACAGCUGUUGCGGUUUAUCUUGACAAGACUAUGCACAUCAACACGUAUGAUGAUAUCUUCUCUGGGUUAACCAACCCCAAGCAUGAAGCGAAAGUAAAAGAUAUGAUGUUAUCAGUCUGUAAUGGCGCGGUUGAAACUCUGGUUAGAUCAUCUCAUCAAGUGUUGACAAGUUCGAAAUCCAAUGUGAACCAUCCGAAUUUGAGUUCAAGUUCUCAUUUGGCUUUUGAUGAUGGGAGAAAAGACAGUGGGUGGAUCGGUCAAGUAUCCUCUACUCUGGCAGUUCCAAGCAAUAGAAGGUUUGUUCUUGACUUGACCGGACGGGUUACAUCUGAAACAGUUAGAUCUUCCUUGGAGUUCUUGAUGGAGAGACUAUUUGAUGGGAUGCGGAGACGUGUUAAUUCUGCUCGUGUGGAAACUGUGGACAAGGGUGUUGAGGUUGUGAGAUAUGCUGUUGCAAAGUCUUCCGUUAUUGCCACUAUAUGUCUAUCUUUGUGUUUACACAUAAUUGAUAGUCCAUGGCUGUUGGCUCCGGCUUAGCUUGUUGAGUACAUUCUCAUUUGGUAAGUCCAUGGCCAUGUAUACGAGAAUUCUUUUGUGCAACUGCCUGUUUGUUGGCGUGUGUAUAUUUCAAUGAAAUUUCAAAAUUCUUUGAGGAACCGAAGAAGUUCCAAGUGCUGGCUAAGACUGAAGGUGCGCUUAAUUUUGUAUGCGUCCACCCUUCCUGGCAUGCUGGUCCUCAUUAGGUGAUGGCAAUGCGUGCGAGAAAAUAUGUUCCAGAAUUUGUGAAGAAAGAAACUUCAUUCUUCAUUGGGCAAUUGUGUCCCGAUUUAGCUCUGUUUAUCAGCUAAAUGAUACACUGUAUACCUAAAGUUGGAUUUAGAACCUUUUAAUUACUUUUAGUGGUUGUGAACCUGCACCAAUUACACCAUGUACAUAUCAUUGUGGUACUUAAUAUCUUCUCCAAUAUAUUCUUAGAACGUGGUUGCAGGUAUUCAUUCUUCAUGUACAUACAUGUUUCAUAGCUCUUUUCAUAGUAACUUUACUUGGAUAUAAAUCUGCAAGUGCAGUAUUGGACUUUGUUGAAAUUUUGAAAUGUUUUAGUGAAAGCAACUCAAAUGUAGUGCUUGCCUUGUUGGUAUACCCUGUUGGCGAGAACAAACAACAGAAAUUAAGUAAAGUUGAUAUCUGGUUGGGAGGUUAUUCUUAAAGGUCAAUAAUAUAUCCAUAAACCCAUUACAUGAUCUUCUUUCCCAGAAUGACGUUCCCAGAAUAAUGUCGAUAACCCAUUUCGGAUAAGCUUGGAGGGCAAGUAAGGACCUACUUUUAAAGUUUUGCAUUAUCAUUCUGGUAACAGAAAAUGUUCUGCGGAUAAAAGUUCUAACAACUUGAAUACAACAUUUGACAUAUGGACAGAUCAAAAAGUAUUGAAGGGAUGAAUGUACAGAUAAAUUUAUAGAUAAAAACUUGGAAGCUUCUUCAUUAAGUAGCGUAUUAGUCUGUAUGAAUUUCAUACCAGAGCAGUUUUCCUCCUUAUAUCAGCAAGCUGAAAAACAGCGUCAUUGAAAUUUCACAACUGAGCAACCUAAACAGAAAUACAAUUGACCAAGCACAGUCCUUUCUUCUACAACUAUGACAGCUUACAGAAACAGAUGCAAAUUGCUGUUGCUUUCAUCAUAUUCUUGUAGUGUGUAAACGAAUGAACUAAUUGAUAUACUAUCUUCAUCUCCUGGCUUGCACCACAGUGAGACAACCAAACAUGAGGGAAUGCGAUACCAUAUUGCUUACUUUGAGCUUGCAUCAGUUUCCUUUGCAGCAGCUUCUUCCUGCUGCUUCUUUGUCCAGUAAUCCUCAAGUGGGGGUCCAAAAAUUGCCUUGCCUGAAGCAACUCCAAUUCUGCAAAUCCCAUAUACAUAUAUGAAGUCAGCUUGAAUGACACUCAAACCAGAUUAAUCAUACAGGGUAUUUGAAAUUGCAAGCAGACUGAAUCUCAGUGGAACCAAUUCCCAGCUGUAAAUUCAGCCAGAUAAGAAACAAAAGUGGAAAAACGAUUGCAUUGUUUUACCAAUUAAGCUACCACUCUAAUGCUUAUGGGUUUUAUAACUUGUCUUCAAGACUUAAUAUUGCCACAUACAAUACCACAUAUUUCACAAAUUUGGGAGCCACUGUUGGUGCUAAUCAAAUGAUUAUCAUAUAGUUUUAGUCUACCUUCAUUUCCACUUUGCAUAGAAGACAUUCCCAUUUCUGGCUACAUCUGCUAUGAACUGCAUUUACUUUCAAUAAUCCAUUGUUAAAAUUAAACUAGAUGAAUGUCUAGCAGUCUCAUAGUCUGAGUGUUAUGCCUAUAGGAUUAAGGACAAUCCUAGAGCCCUUUCUUUAGAUAUCAAGGACGAGAAAAGCAGUAACAAAAUUAGUAAAAUCAGAGAAAAGAAGUCAUUGGAGGUAAAUAAUAUGCUUGCAGUGAUCAUCAUCUAUAAGAAAUACUUUCCGGAGAAGAGUGCAUACAAGAUGAUAAGUUUGAGUAAUUCAAUUGUUUCAGAAAAGUUACUGCACUUUCUGGACCAACUUUUUCAAAUCCUGUCUCAAGAUCGAUACAUGCCCGCUCAACCAGAAACAGACAGGAGAUAAGAAAAGUGUAUAUAUAUAUAUAUACACACAGUCCCCUUCUAGAGAGGGAUCCCUCUUUGAAUUAAAGUGCGGGACUCCUUAUUUCGCUCACUUUCAGGUCGUAUUUUCACAUCUCAACCGUACAAUGUCUAAAACACAGUGUGUAGAUCAUUCCUACAAAGUUUCAUCAAAUUUGAAGAUCAUUUGAGCUUCCGUAAUCGUAAUUUACACGAAU